This 51824-nucleotide long non-coding RNA is filed under the name Triticum aestivum (bread wheat). Its description in RNAcentral is "long non-coding RNA (TAES_LNC028398)". The record is from RNAcentral. Lineage: Eukaryota; Viridiplantae; Streptophyta; Magnoliopsida; Poales; Poaceae.
GCAUCAUUUGGUGGAUCACCACCAUCUUGAGGUUGAUCUUGCCCUUGAUCUUGUUCAUGAGGUUGAGAGCCUUCACUUUGUUCUUCGGAAGCGUGUGGGUCUUGGGUUGGUGAUGGCUCCACUUGAGUGGAGCAUUGUCCUUCUCCUUCGGCCACAAGGGGUUCCUCAAUGGGUAGGAUAUAACCAACACCCAUUAUUCUUAUGGCUUGGGAGGAAUUUCAUCACCUACAUCACAAGUACCACUUUGCCCCACUUGGGAGCCGUUAUUCUCAUCAAACUCCACGUUACACGUCUCCUCAAUAAGUCCCAUGGACUUAUUGAGAACACGGUAAGCAUGGGAGUUUGUAACAUAACCAACAAAUAUGCCCUCAUGAGCUCUAGACUCAAAUUUAGACAAACGAACGCCUUUCUUGAGAAUGAAACACUUACACCCGAACACCCGAAAGUACUUGAGGUUGGGCUUGUUACCGGUGAGUAUCUCAUAUGGAGUCUUGUUCAAGCCUUUGCGGAGAUAGAGCCGAUUUGAAGCAUGACACGCGGUGUUGAUGGCUUCGGCCCAAAAGUUGUAUGGAGACUUGAACUCCGCCAUCAUGGUCCUUGCCGCAUCCAUCAACGUCCGGUUCUUCCUCUCCGCAACACCAUUUUGUUGAGGGGUGUAAGGUGCGGAAUAUUGAUGCUUGAUCCCCUCAUCACUAAGAAACUCAUCCAAGGUGUAGUUUUUGAACUAGGUUCCGUUGUCACUUCUUAUUGUCAAGAUCUUUGCAUUGUGUUGACGUUGGGCUUCAUUUGCAAAGUCAAUGACGGUUUGUUGGGUCUCACUCUUCCUCUUGAAGAAAUACACCCAAGUGUAUCUUGAAUAGUCAUCCACAAUUACCAAGCAAUACUUUCUACCCCCAAGACUAUCAAAGGAUGGAGGCCCAAAGAGAUCCAAAUGAAGGAGCUCCAAAGGCCUCUUCGAGUAAAUGAGAGUCGUGGGAGGGUGAGCCUUCUCAUGAAGCUUUCCUUCGAUACAAGCACUGCAAGCACGAUCUUUAGCAAAACUAACGUUCGUUAGUCCAUGGACAUGGUCCCCCUUGAGAAGACUUUGCAAAGAUCUCAUAUUGACAUGGGCUAAACGGCGAUGUCAAAGCCAUCCCACGUCAACUUUAGCCAUUAGGAAUGUCGCGGUCUUAGUGGGUCGCUCCGAAAAGUUAAUCACAUAGAGACCGUUCUCGACAUGCCCAACAAAGGGCACUUUAAGAGUCUUGCUCCACAAGAGGGCCACGGUAUCAAUAUCAAAGAAAGUGGCAAAGCCCAUGGUAGCAAGUUGACGAACGGAAAGUAAAUUGUAUGCAAGGGACUCAACUAGCAUGACCUUCUCGAUCGUGAGAUCAUGAGAAAUGACAACUUUGCCGAGUCCCAAUACCUUAGAAGACGAGGCAUCACCCCACUCGACAUUGGUGGGCAUAGAUGAAAUCUUGUGCACGUCCACCACCAAGUCCUUGCUUCCGGUCAUAUGAUUUGUAGCUCCACUAUCGAGCAACCAUGAUCCCCCACCGGAAGCAAACACCUACAAGAGAUGAAUGCUUGGUUUUAGGUACCCAUUUUGUAAUGGGUCCUUUGAUGUUAGUAACAAGGGUCUUAGGAACCCAAAUGGACCAUUCAAUAUACUCAUGAGGAGAACCAACAAAUUUGGCAUAAACAUGCCCAUCACUUGCACGGCAUAACACAUAAGAAGGAUUAAAGUCGCCGGCUUUGUUGGAUGGGGUGGUAUUGCCCUUCUUGACCCCGUCACCCUUUGCAUUGUUCUUCUUCUCCUUGGAAGCACCCUCUCCCUCCUUCACAAAAGUUUGCUUGACAGGAGGAGGUCGUUUGGUCUUUUCAUUCUUCUUCUUGUUCUUGGGCUUGGGUGCGAACCCAAUGCCCUCCUUGGCCACAACUUCCUUUUGGUUUCUCAAAAGGUCGUUGAGGUUCUUCUCACCUUGUAUGCAUGACACAAGGCCUUUAUCAAGUUGCUCCUUCAACUUAGAAUUCUCAUCGACAAGAUGCACAUGCUCACAACAAGGGUUAGUAGCAUUUGCAUUAUCAAUUAACACCAUAUGAGGAAAGGUGGAUUUCUCCUUAGUUAGCUUUACUUGGAGUUGAUCAUGAGACUCCUUGAGGCUAGCAUGAACGCCCUUCAAGACUUUGUGAGCCUUGUCAAGAAUGUCAAACUCCUCUUUAAGUCUAGCAAGAUCAACCCCAAGUUUUGCCUUCUCGGAGUUUAGCACACGAGACACAACAAGAGCAUGAUCAAGAUCUUUCUUUAACUUAGAAUGAUCAUCGUUGUAUGACUCCUCAAGAGCCAAACGAAGACCACGCUCUUCGUCACGAGCAUUGGAAAGAUCCAAAAUCUCAUCGGCAUAGUCACGACUAUGCCCCUCCAUCUUAGAGAUGGUAUCUUCGUGAGCCUCGAUCAUGUCAUUGGCUUCACCAAGUUGUUCCAAGAGAGCAACGAAGUGCUUCUUGGAUUUACCCUUGAGUUUACCCAUAAAAGUCUCAAACUCAUUUUCCUCCACAUUUGUCCCCUCAUGUUCAUCAAUGCUAUCCGUCGAAGAAGGAUGAUUAAUGAUGGUAGUUUUGAUGUUGGAGGUUACUUUAUUGGUGGCUUUAGCCAUGAGGCACUUGGCGGUGAUGUUCUCAUUGGGUGAGUCGAAGAGAGACACCCGUGAUCUGGUGCUAGGGUUUGAGCAAUCCCCAUUUCAAUUUUCAAAUAAAUUUAGACAUGAUGCAACAACCAAGCUAGUCCAAGUGCAUAGCAAAGCUAAGGAUGUGACAAUGCUCGAGCUUGAGCUUUGUAGUUUGAACUUAUGUCAUUCGAAUCGCUCGAAGGGGGACAUGGAUCAGUUAUGCAUGUCUUUGCCACUUGAUCAUUUGUAGUUUGAACUUAUUUCAUUCAAAUCGCUAGAAGGGGACAUGAAUCGCUAGAAGAGUGUCAUUUGUGGAUGUAAUGAACUAUGCUCAAUUAUUGAUGUCUUUGCUACUCGAUCAUUUGUGGAUGUCAUGUGUGGAUGCUUAGUUCAUAGAAGUUUGUAAGAAAUGGAAAGACAAAGGGAUAUAAAACAAAUGAAGGGGGGCAUGAAUCAGCACCCUACCGCCAUAGGCUUCGGCGGUAGGGUGGCCAACCCUACCGCCACAAAAAUGCCCGAUUUGGUCACAGAAGAAGCAGCAGAGCAGGCAUUUGGGUGGCCAACCCUACCGCCAUAGGCUUCGGUGGUAGGGUGGCCAACCCUAUUGCCAAAAAAUGUCCGAUUUGGUCACAGAAGAAGCAGUAGAGCAGCCGGUUGGGUGGCCAACCCUACCGCCAAAAAAUGCCCGAUUUGGUCAAAGAAGAAGCAGCAGAGCAGCCGGUUCGGUGGCCAACCCUCCCGCCAUAGGCUUCGGCAGUAGGGUGGCCAACCCUACCGCCAAAAAAAUGCCCUAUUUGGUCACAGAAGAAGCAGCAGAGCAGCCGUUUGGGUGGCCACCCUACCGCCGUCGCCCUUGGCGGUAGGCUAGCCAACCCUACCGCAAAACAGGGGAGAUUUUGCGCUCCAGCAGGUUAGCUGUUGGGAUUCGCGGCCUACCGCCAGGCCUUAUGGCGGUAGGGUGUCAGAACCUACCGCCGGGGCUUCUGGCGGUAGGGUGCAAAGCAGAGCUAUAAUUUACUCUGUUUUCCAUCUUGUUCAUCAUUUCUAAUUGACAGCAAAAACAACAGUAUAACAGAUGUAGUUCAUGACAUAGUUUCAACACAACUUUCACAAAUCAAAGACACAGUUGACGACAUAGUUCAACACAAGUUUCGCAAAUAAAGUACAUAGUUCAACACAAGUUUCACAAAUCAAAGACACGGUUCAUCACAUGUUUCUCGAAGCGAAGGCAUAGUUCAUGACUAGUUUUUCGAAAGUAAGGCCUUAUUGAGUCACACGAGGCCAUUUUCCUUUCUUGUCGCGUGCCUCAUCCUGCUCUUGGGCUUCACGAGCCCUUGCAAGCUUUCUUGCUCUCUCCUCUUGACGAGCAAUCUUCUCCUUGCGUGCCCUCUCCUCUUCACGCUUCUUUCGCUCCAUCCUCUCCUUUUCACGACGCUCUUCAUCCAAGCCUCUCUGAAAUGCUUCUUCAAACAACCGCUGCCUCCUUAGACAAUCUCGAUGUUGAUCUUCUUAACAUCUACUGGCACAUCUUGAUCUAUCCAUGUGAAGUACUUACAAGGUGGAGGCGGCGACUACGUACGAAUAAAGAACAAAUGUGGUCAUUAGUAAGAUAGAUUCAAUGGUUGACGACAUGUUUGAACUUGAACAACUUACCGGCGGGACAUCAUAGGCGUGAGCUGGACGAGGACGAUCGUAGGCAUAGUUGGGACAAAAAAAUAUCUUCUUCCUUCCGUCCAUGAUUUCUUGCGGUCGGUGGAUACCUUAACUUUGCAAACAUCUCCACACCAACAUGAUGGUUUCCCAUAUCUUUGUCCUUCACCUUAUCCAACUCGGCGUCUGUCCACUUGUCCGGCAUGUCCUCACGGUUAGAACACGGUGGCCUCGUCACGGAACUGGAAGAAGCCAUGCCUAUAAAGACAAAUUUGGUAGUUAGUAAAGUAAAAUAACAUGUAUGUAUGCAAAAAAAAACAAGACCAAAUAACAAGUACCAUUCACAUUAUUUCAACCAUCUGGGUUAAGCAAGAUGUCAAUACGCCUUCCUCUAUCAACCCUUCUCGUCCUACGACCACGGCCACCGGUACCCGACCGUCCCCCGCGCCCUCUAAUACUGUCUCCUCGUCCACUACCGCCAAGAUUCGUCCGUCCUCCACGCGCACCACUCCUGCCUCCUUGUCCACUACCACUCCUACCUCCUCGUGUGCCACCGGUACCUCCUCUUGGGGCACCACUUUGACUAGGAUCCGGAGUGUUGGCAUCGGUCCGUGGCUUUUUGGUGCAUUUCCUAACAUUGUGUCCCGGCUCGUCACAUUUACCACAACUAUUGAUGUCCGGUGCCUCCAUGAAAUGGCCGCUACCAAAUUGUUUCAUUCCGGUGUAUCCAGCUAGGUCAUCCAUGUCACCCCUAAACCUCUUCUUUCUUCUUCUUCCCUUUGUAGGCACCAUGAGUUCGGGGUCGGGGACGAUGUGUCGCCCAUCAUACUCAGGCCACUGUGACUGAUCUAGGAAGGGAUGAAACCUAGGAGCCCAUGUCAACCUCGUUCGUUCCAAUGUGAACUCAUGCAACCGCAAGGUGGUACCAUCGGAUACUUUCAAGUUUCUGAACCUUGCGGCGGUCAUCACAUGCGAGCAAGGCCAAUGAUACUUGUGAGGUCUCUCGCAUUGACACCACCGGGUCUUGAGGCGCACCUCAUAUGCUACUCCACCGUAUGUCAUGCCGUCACUUGUUGUGCCACCCGGCUCAUCGACUUGGUAGAUUUGUUCUUUUUCAUUGAAACUAAUGAUUUAUUGACUCCAAGACUUGCGCGCUUGAUGCUUCAACCAAUCCUCAACUUUGAAGGGAAAUUCUAUUUUCUCACCUAUCCAUUUGGCCGUCUCUUCGGAAUGCCUCAGAAAAUACUCGUUGAGCUUGAAGAAGGUAUAUUUCACUAUUGCAGUGACCGGUAAGGAACGGACACCCUUGAGCACAUUGUUGAAGCAUUCCACCAUGUUACUUGUCAUGUCUCCGUAUCGGAAACCUCCUUCGUCGUAAGCACGUGACCACUUAUGCUUCUCCGGAAAAUUCCUUGUCAAGAAUUCUCUCCCUCCUUUGUUCUUCUCCAACGCCUUGAAUAACUUAUCAUAGCGGCUUUGGAAUGUGUCGGUGUUGAAUGCCACACAAACAUGGGUAAGAUCUUUGCAAAACUCCUUACUCUUGCAUGCACGGUAAAAGUUUGCCACGAAAUGCCUCAUGCACCAACGGUGUUGGAGCUUUGGAUAGCCUGGAAUGUCAACUUCUAUUGCUUUGAGAAUCCCAAGAUGGUGAUCCGAUAUGAUGCACACCUCUCUUUUGAGGCCAAUCACCUUCGUCCUCACAUGAUCCAUAAACCACUGCCAAUUAUCAUCGUGCUCGGAAGGCACCAACGCAAAUGCCACCGGCAACACAUUGUCAUUGGACGAGCGGGCCAUUGCUACCAUCAACGUGCCCUUGUACUUUCCGGUCAAGAACGUGCCAUCAAUUGACAACACGGGGCGGCAAUGCCUAAAUGCAUCGAUGCAUUGCCCGAAGCUCCAAAAAGCUCGAUGAAACACUCCCUCUAUUGACUCGACCCUAUGGCGCAUGCCCGGGUUCCGAUGAGCAAUGGCUCCCAACAUUCUCGGAAGAAUGUUGUACGCGGCGACAUAAUCACCAUGCAACAUCCUUAUAGCAUUUGCCUUCGCCAUCCACGCCUUUCCAUACUUGACCGGGUACCCGAAUCUUUCGAAGACCGAACUCAUGAGGAACUUCACCUUCACGGUUGGAUCAUGGGAUAUCUCAUUCAAAAAUUUAUAGCCUAGAUACUCGGACAUGAGUUGGCGGUGUCCCUUGCUUCGGUCCGCUUUCUCCGGCGGUAUGCACUUGUGGGUGGCCACACAACUCUUCAACUCCCAUUGCCUGGUUUCCUUGAUCUUUCUUCCACGGACCUUCCAUGGGCAACCUUCUUUGUCACAUUUGAUUGCGUAGCGCAAUUUUUUGUUGGAAUGACCAACAACGAACGGCCUAUGGUUCCGAAUGGCAUAGUCACUCAACCAUAUCUUGAACUAUUGCAAACAACCAAAAUUGAUCCCUUUCUUCAAAUGAGCAUUCUCGUCCUCACCCGGUGGCCUUGGAUCACCUAUCCUCGGGCAAGGUGAUGGUUCGAUCAAGCCCAACCUCAUGCCACCAUCAACAACGGCCUUGUCGGCAAGGCUAAGAUCACGAAACAAAGAGGGUCCUCUUUCCUUACCAGUGACCUUCUUGUAAAUUUGAUUUUCUUGCGGCGUGAAUCCAUCCUCACCCAAUUCUUCCGGUGGACCCUCAUCAUCUGACUCAUACCUACACAUACGGCUAUAAGGGAGGUUCCGGUCCAUGUCUUGUUGAUGCACAAUGACAUCCAAGUCACCAAUGGGAUUGUAAUGAAUCUCUUCUUCUUCCGCAUACACAUCAUCUUGAGCAAUAGCAUCUCCAUCAACAUGAGCAAUGGCAUCUUCAUCAACAUGAACAUUUGCAUGUUCAUCAACAUGAGCAACGGCCUCAUCUCCAACAUGAUCAUCACCUACAAGAACUAUUGCUCUAGCAUUGAUGUCCUCUUCAUUUGGUUGGCUACUUAGUGGUUGGCUAGCCGCAUUGUGGUCAUACACCACGACAGCAUCAUGUAUUGGGGAGGACACAUUCCGGUUCAAGUCAAAUAGUGGCCGAGGAACUUCAACCAUUACUUGUCUUGUGGCAAAUAACUCAAGUGACUUGUCUUGUGAUCCCUCAACUUUCUCCUUAUACACAUCCCAAUGCAAUUGAGAGGUGAUGGGCAUACUCUUUAAUCGGGAUCUUACUCCCACUCCCACAUCAUACCGUCCAAUAAGCUUCACACCAUCACUUGGGUUAAUCCAUUUGAGAACGCUUCUCACUUUCACGAUAAUAUCAUCAUAGCUCAGGCUUGUGUCAAAAACCAUGGCCUCCUCCCCUUCGUCGGCAUUUCCAUCCAUGAAAACCGCCUUGUCCAAAUAAUGCACGUUCACUAGUUUAUCCAUCUAAAAACAAUGAAACAAAAUUGAGUCAUCCAUGGACCGGCCAUUUCAUAUGGAUGAACCAUCUAAAAUAUAACAUUUGAAUCUAAGAUCUAGUAUACCUUAAUCAUAGCACUAACCCUAACCCUAACCUAACUAAACCCCAAACCCUUACACUUAAGAUAGCUUGCCACAACAAAGAGUGACACAUAUUACUUAGGUCAACCAUAAAUACACCAUAAAUGCCCCAUAAAUGUGCCAUAAAUGCACAAUAAAUGCUAAACUAGAGGAAGAACUAGGGGGGUUGCAAAACUAGUUGAUUCCAACAAAACUAGAUGAUUUCAACCAACCAAAUAAAGGGGGAUGGGGGAGGUACCUUGGGUGAUGCAAAUGGCCUCGAUCCACGGGACAAAUCUCAAGCAAUGGAGGGGGAUCUAGUGGGUGCUUGGGUGGGGGAGAAAAGGGGGAGAGAGUGAGAGCUCGGGGAGGAAGAAGAUGAGUGGAGUGGGUGGGUGGUGAGUGGACACCACCAAACCUUAUCCUCCAGGACCCUACCGCCAGAGACCUCAGCGGUAGGGUGUUGGAGCCUACCGCCAAGGCGGGCGGCGGUAGGCCCCUUUGCCACGUCAGACCCUGUUAACGGCCAGACGGCCGUCAAAGCAACCUACCGCUAGGGUGGACGGCGAUAGCCUGUACAUCCCUACCGUCGGGGUCUAUGGCGGUAGCCAAAAGGGUCAAAUGUCGAAAAAAUUCAUAACGGGGUCAGAUCUCGAUUUUAUACGUGGAAAGGGUCAAAACACGAAAUUUGGCCUGGCCUCGCCCGUGGCCGGAAGCCGUUGCUGGCCGGCUCUGCUGUGACUGCUAGUAACCACUUCACUGUGCGACGCUGUGGAUCACGGAUCGGUUUCCAGCACUGCAGUGCACCGCCGGCCUCGUCGCCCGCUCGCUCGCGUUGGGCCAGUGCAUGGAAUUGCACGAUGCCGAUCUAGCGGCCUCUAGUCUAGCUGGACCACUCGCUCCGAUCCAGCGGCGAGCCAUGGGUGUGUUGGUGUAGAGGUAGAGCGCAUCAAUAAUUGUGCUACGAGGGUGUGCCCGCCCGGCGGCGCUGCGCCUCUAUCCACCACCUUUCCUGUUACCGCAAGCCCGCCCGACUCGCCGGAACACGGAGCUGGAGUAGAAUGUCGAAAGAAAAAACUUGGGGAUGGUCGAAAUGGUGUCCAUUCAGUGAAAGCAACUCCGGUUAGAAUCCUAUUCCUAUGAAUGAAUUCUUCGUAUCCUCUACAUUUCAUAGGAAAAUAAACAUUAGCCUAGAUGAAAAGAAUCCUAUGAUGUGAACCACAGAGCAUCUUCAUUUAUAUUCCUAUUCAUAAGAUUUUAGAUACAUGUCAUCUCAUUCCCUGUGAUUUUCUUAUUCGUAUGACUUUUCUAUCCUAUGAACGAAAGGAGGCCUUAAUGAAAGCAACGGGAGAAGGGACAAGCUAGUGUGGCAGAUUGUACGUACUACUGAAUUCUGCACCCAUGUUAGAUUUUGCAAUGGUCAUUUUGGAGUGGCUGCGCCUCCGGUUAGAGCAUCUACAACCGGACCUCUCAAAUCCGUCUCAAACACCUGGACAGGCCGCCCGGUCGCUGCCCGAUCAUGAAAUUUGGACUCAGACAGGCCACUCAGAUGGCCCUCAAACGCUCGGGCUGACCGGCAUCCCCCAUAUCCAGCCCAAAUAUGGGUCAGAUAUGGGGGUGUCCGGGCACGCUCGUCACGUCGGACCCGAUCCAUAAUGGCCCACCCGACCCCACUUAUAUUCGUUCCCAUCCUCUCACCAGACCAAACCAUAACCACUUCACUCCACUCCCAUCCACCACCCGAGCUCAUCUCCAGCAGUUUGCGACCUUCUCCGCCAUGGCAUGCAGCGGAUCGGACUCCGACCAGUCUGGAUCCGUCGACAGGGGUGUCGUCCCAUUUGGGUUGAAGGAGGCAAUGGCAGUCCACAUUGCACUCCACCGCUCCCGGGAGGACAAUGGCCGUCCGACGGACGGAUCCGUCCGCCGUGAUGCCAUAGCGUCGGCUCACCGGGCGCUCGGGUCCUCUGGUGCUAGAUCCUCGCGGUCCCGGCCGAAACACCUCUUGUUGAGGAUAUAGACCUUAGAGUCACCCGCCAGGAGGGGCCGGGUUACUCAUACGGUCGUUGCCAGAAGCCCGGAGCCAAGUUUCAAGACGAUGGGCCAAGAGAUGGGCUGAGACCCGGAUAUGGCUUAAGGCCCGUAGUCAUAAUCAUUAUUAUAGUAGAACUUGUAGCGUAAGGCAAGCAUAGUUUAGAGGCCGAGCCGGAUACUCUUAUAAGCCGGCCGGGACUCUAAGGGCUGCUGGGCGUCAGCCUCCCUAUAUAAAGGGACGACCCGGCAGCGGUUUAAGGGCGACAACAAUCUCAUCGAGAGCCGGGCAUAACAGUUUAACUCCCUGGUGAUCGAAACCCUAAUCAAUACCACCUCAAACUGGACGUAGGCUUUUACCUUCACCGUAAGGGGCCGAACCAGUAUAAACCCUCGUGUUCCUUGUCCCGCAUUAACCCCUUCAAGCUUCCUGGCUGCGAUGGCUCCACGACUAAGUCCUAGCUCGAGGACAUCUGCCGUGACAAUUCCACGACAGUUGGCGCCCACCGUGGGGCCAGCGCACGGUGGAUUUGAGUUCUUGAAGGGCAGCUUCGAAGGGCUCAAGGGAUACGCUGUGGGCCGGAUGACCAAGAGUCGUCGCGGCAAGCUCUACAUCGACGAUGCGGACUGGGGCCCCGACGCAGGCUCAAUUGAGUACGGAUACCGGGUCCCCUUUGGUGGAAUUCAUGUCUUCAUUGGCAAGAUUGGUGAGCCGGGCCCCGAGCCGGAUCUCUGCGCCGUUCUCAUCGAAACGGCUCAGCGCGCACAACCCGCCCGGGCCCGGCCUGCCUUAAGGCGCGCUUUUGUGGGAUGCAUCCAUGGAGGGCCCUCUGAUCCAUCUGGGUCUGGUGAUGAGGCGGCCGCCGGCUCUGACGGCGAGUCGGCCACCGAUGAAUCAAACUCGUUGUACCAACUUCAAGAUGGCAGGCUCAUGGGUUGUUCCGAUGGCGACAGUAUUCCGGACCUUUUUGAGCCGCCAAGUCAGGUGGGAGUUUUUAUGGCUGGUGCGCAGCCUGUUCAGAACCCCGCUGCUGGAUCGGGAAACCCGGUGCCUUCUCCGGCUCAGGUGCUGAUGGAUCUCACGGACAAGAUGACGGCCCUGUUAACUGCCGCGGUUGACCCGGCGAAUCAAGCUCAGCAUGAUGCGGAGGUGGCACAGUUAAAAUUGGAUUUGAUAAAAGCUAAGGAGGAUCUUGCAGCGGAGGGGAUCAGGCUGGCUGCGGAGCGGGCGGCCCUCGACGCCCGGACUGAGCUAAUUCAGGUGCAGUCCUUCCAACUCACAAUGGAUCAGAACGCGGCCAACGAGGUCAUGAGAAGGAGGCAUCAGAAGGCCCAGUCUCGACUCCCACCGGUUUACGAUCCACGCAAUCUCUUCAAUACACCGGGUGCAGGAUCUAGUAACCCGCCAGGGGUCAUUGCACCCGGGUCUGGUCCCCUUAUUCAGCCACGCGUGAUGGGGCCUCCCCAGGUGCCCCCUGCCCCGCCUCAGUAUGUGCGAAUACCCCCGGGUCAUUAUGAUAACCCGCUGGAGAACAUGGUGGCUGCGGCAGCACGACUGGCGGCUCUCCCCGUUGACGGCGACUCUCCGGCGGCCAUCGAAACCCGUCGGGUCAGGGAACUCCUGCAGACGGCACUAGCACAGCAAGAGGCGUACUCCUACAGCCGGGACAGGAUCCACUCGACCCCUCGUCCAGGCCAGAGCCCGAGUUACAGCCGGCACAUGGUCUCAGCAACCGGCUCAAGUAAUGUCCGACGCCAUGACCCGCCCCCUGGCGAUGGCCCGGUUCAUAAUGGAGCCUUUUACGCAGCAGGCCAAGCGCGGCAAGAGGCGGAGCAGGUGCCUCAAUUGACGGCUUACCAGACCCCCCCCCCGGCUUAUCCAACAACGUCCGUUGAUGUGGGUAUUUCUACCAGGACCGGGGGUGUCCCUUGUUUGGUGCCAGCCAUCCGUAAUGAACGGCUGCCUAAGGACUUCAAGGGCCCCAGGAAGGUGCCUAACUACACAGCGGACUUAUAGCCUGCAGCCUGGAUUGAGAGUUAUGAGAUGCCUAUGGAAUUGCUGGAGGUCAGUGAGGCGGCCAUGGCCAAAUAUUUCACCAUGAUGUUAGAUGGAACUGCCCGCACGUGGUUGAAAGGGUUACCGCCGAACUCCAUUGGGUCUUGGGCUGAGCUAAAAGCCCGGUUCAUUCAAAACUUCAAAGAUACCUGCAGGCAGUCUAUGUCAAUUGUGGAUCUGACUAACUGUAAGCAGCAGGAGGGUGAAUCCACGACCCAUUGGGUUCGCCGGGUCACGGAGAUCAUACAUUCAUCAGAUAAGAUGGAUGCCGGCUCUGCAGUCUUAAUGUUGGAACAGAACUGUCGCUUUGUGCCCCUUAGGAUGAAACUCGGGCGGCUUAAACGCGACUGCACCGAUAUGGGUACCCUAAUGGCGGCUCUUGUCAAGUACGCCGAUUCUGAUGGUACCAAGGAUCCCCCUUCAGACGAUGAAAGGACAGGGAAGGGAAAGAAGAACGGCCAUGGCAAGGGUCCUCAGUUUAACCCGGGGAACCAAGGAGGAGGCAAGCGUAAGGCCGAUGGCAGCCUAGAGUUUGUAGCCAACGCCAACUCCCAAGGUAAUAACCAGCGACGCAAGGGGAGGCCCCCUCCCCGAGGCGGCGGGUCAGGUCCAACGCUGGAGCAGCUGUUGAAUGAACCUUGUCCAAGGCAUGGCUCCAAAGAGAAGCCAGUGACUCAUCUGUGGAAGGAUUGCGCGAUCAUGAAGGCCUUUAAGAGCUACAAUGGCCCGGGCGGCGGCUCAGGUGCCGGGGGCUUUCAUGGCCCGGGCGGCGGCUCAAAUCCCGGUCCUCAGAACGGUCAAGGGGGCUUCAAUCAACAGUCUGGUCAGGGUCAUCAACAGCAACAGGGGGGUUAUCAGACCAACCCGAAGCAGCUUAGCGGUGGACAGUAUCAUGUAUUCACCACUAGUUUGUGCAAACGAGAUCAAAAGCUUCACAAGAGGGCUGUGAAUGCUGUUGAGCCGGCGGUUCCGCGAUACUUAAGGUGGUCUGAGAAGCCUAUAGUGUGGAGUAGGGAGGAUCACCCUCCACGGGUGGAUAACCCGGGCCACUUGGCCUUAGUGGUGGCUCCUCAGGUGGGAGGUUAUAAGUUCACAAAGGUACUCAUGGAUGGAGGCAGCAGCAUCAACAUCCUCUAUUACGAGACUUUUCGCCGUAUGGGGCUGGUUGAUAAGAACCUCAGCCAGUCAAACACUAUCUUCCAUGGUGUGGUACCUGGUAAGUCGGCUUAUCCAGUCGGCAAGAUCGAAUUAGAAGUGGCUUUCGGUGAUGAGAACAACUACAGGGUGGAGAAAUUAACCUUUGAGGUGGUCAAGAUAAGAAGUCCAUACCAUGCUAUAUUUGGACGGCCGGCUUACGCCAAGUUCAUGGCACGGCCGUGUUAUGUGUACUUACAGCUCAAGAUGACGGGUCACAACGGGACCAUUACGGUUCACGGCAGCCGGAAGGUGGCUCUCGAGUGUGAGGAAGGUGAUGCAGCUUACGCAGAGUCUGUUUGUGCAACAGAGGAGUUGAAGUUCUACAAAGACAAUGUUGACCCAACAGACAUGACCUCUCUAAAGAAGCCGACUACGGAGACUGAGCCGGCGAUGAAAUUUAAGUCGGCUGAUGAAACUAAGCUUGUUGACUUUGUUCCAGGAGAUUCAUCUCAGCAGUUUAGCAUCAGUGCCAAUCUGGAUCCAAAAUAGGAAAGCGCGCUCAUCGAGUUCAUCCGUGAGAAUAGGGACAUCUUUGCACGGAAGCCUUCUGACAUGCCAGGUGUACCUAGAGAACUCGCUGAGCAUACUCUCAAUGUUGAUCCAAAAUUUAAGCCGGUCAGACAGUUCCUUCGACGGUUUAACGAGGAGAGGCGGAAAGCCAUUGGUGAAGAAGUGGCCCGGCUCUUGGCGGCCGGGUUUAUUGUCGAAGUUUUUCACCCAGAAUGGUUGGCUAACCCGGUGCUCGUGCUCAAGAAGAACGGCACCUGGCGGAUGUGUGUGGACUACACAGAUUUGAACAAGGCGUGUCCGGCUGAUCCUUUUGCUCUCCCCCGUAUUGAUCAAAUCAUUGAUGCUACGGCAGGUUGUGCAUGCUUAAGUUUCUUGGAUGCUUAUUCCGGGUAUCAUCAGAUUAAGAUGGCAGUUAAGGACCAGGAGAAGACGGCAUUCAUCACUCCCUUUGGAGCCUUCUGCUAUGUUUCUAUGCCCUUUGGACUCAAGUGUGCACAGGCGACUUACCAGCGUUGUGUACAGAAUUGUCUUCAUAAACAGAUCGGGCGCAAUGUUCACGCUUACGUGGACGAUAUUGUGGUUAAAUCCAUCAAGGAGGAAACCCUGAUAGAUGACUUAAGGGAAACCUUCGAUAAUCUCCGGGUCUAUAAGAUGAUGCUUAACCCGGCCAAGUGUGUUUUUGGUGUUCCUGCAGGCAAACUAUUGGGCUUCUUGGUUUCUGACAGAGGCAUUGAGGUUAACCCGGAGAAGAUCAAGGCCAUCACCUCUCUAGCCAAACCAGCGUGUAUAAAUGACGUUCAGCGUUUGGCGGGUCGCAUCGCUGCUUUAAGCCGGUUUAUAAGCCGUUUGGGUGAGAAGGCUAUGCCCUUAUAUCAGUUGAUGAAGAAAACUGAUAGCUUUGUCUGGAAUGAUGCAGCUAAUACCGCUUUUGAGGAUUUGAAAAAGCAGCUGGCGGAGCCCCCAGUCCUUGCUGCUCCGGUUGAUAAGGAACCCUUGCUGCUGUAUGUGGCGGCAAACGCGCGAGCCGUCAGCGUGGCUAUUGUGGUGGAGCGCAAGGAGGCGGGUAAGGAGCAUCCAGUUCAGCGGCCGGUUUAUUAUGUCAGCGAGGUGCUCAUUGAGUCCAAACAGCGGUACCCGCAUUGGCAGAAGCUCGUAUAUGGUGUGUUCAUGGCGAGCCGGAAGCUUAAGCAUUAUUUUCAGGGUCAUCCCAUCACUGUGGUCAGUUCUGCCCCUCUUGGCGAUAUUAUUCAAAACAGAGAGGCCACAGGGAGAAUUGCUAAGUGGGCUAUAGAACUUGGACCUCAUGGCCUCAAAUAUGUGCCACGCACUGCUGUUAAAUCUCAGGCUUUGGUGGAUUUUAUCAACGAUUGGACAGAGUCACAAGUGCCUGAGCAAAAGCCGGAUAACACUUAUUGGACCAUUCACUUUGAUGGGUCCCGACAGCUGGAGGGCUCGGGGGCUGGUGUUGUAUUGGCUUCCCCUAAAGGUGACAAGUUCCAUUAUGUGCUACGGUUGAUGUUUCCUUGCACUAACAAUGCGGCUGAAUACGAGGCUUUGCUCCAUGGUCUUCGGGUGGCUAAGGAGAUGAGCUUAAGCCGGGUAAGGUGCUUUGGUGACUCAGACUUGGUGGCUCAACAAGUAUCAGGCACCUGGAAUUCUAAGGAUCCUCUCAUGGCGGCUUAUCGCCGCGAGGUUGAUGCCAUUGCUGGGCACUUUCAGGGAUACCAAGUGGAGCACAUUGAUCGCAGGAAGAACGAGGCGGCUGAUGCUUUAAGCCGGCUAGGCUCUCAGCGAAAACCGGUGCCGCCUAACACUUUCUUGGAUUUCCUGUAUAACCCUUCGGUUAGGUUGCCUACAGAGGAGGACUUGGCUAUCCCUGACCCGGAGGCACGACUGGUGGCGGCUCUUCAUGUCAUACCAGACUGGACAAUGCCAUACCUGGCUUAUAUAACCCGGGGAGAGUUGCCUGAGGAUGAAACUCUGGCCAGGCAAAUAACCCGGCGGGCUAAGUCAAUGAUCGUCAUCGAUGGCGAGUUACAUCAUCGCAGUGUUCCAGGGGCAUUUCAACAUUGUAUCUCCCCUGAGGAAGGCCAAGAGAUCUUGCGGGAGAUCCAUGAAGGGGAUUGUGGUCAUCAUGCCGGCUCAAAAUCUCUUGUAGCCAAGGCUUUCCGUCAUGGUUUUUAUUGGCUGACGGCUCACGCUGAUGCAGAGGACUUGGUCAGUAAAUGUGAUGGUUGCCAAAGGUUCUCACGACGGGCUCACGUGCCGGCUCAGGAGUUGAGGAUGAUCCCAAUCACUUGGCCCUUUGCGGUCUGGGGGCUUGAUAUGGUUGGGCCUUUUAAACGGUCCAAGGAUAAGAAGACCCACCUCUUGGUGGCAGUUGACAAAUUCACAAAGUGGGUGGAAGCUGAGCCAGUUAGCAAGUGCGAUGCAGCCACGACGGUUCAAUUUAUGAAAAAGGUGAUUUUCCGCUUUGGUUUUCCGCACAGCAUUAUAACUGACAAUGGCACCAAUCUCUCCAAAGGCGCCAUGGAAGAAUUUUGUCAACAAGAGCAUAUCCGACUUGAUGUUUCUUCAGUGGAUCAUCCUCAAUCCAAUGGUCAGGCUGAGAGAGCUAACCAGGAAAUUCUGAAGGGUAUCAAGCCCCGGCUUUUGGUCCCUUUACAACGAACGCCGGGUUGUUGGGUGGAGGAGUUGCCUUCCGUCUUGUGGAGCAUCAACACUACUCCUAACAGGUCUACAGGCUUCACGCCUUUCUUCAUGGUUUAUGGAGCAGAAGCAGUCCUCCCCAGCGACAUCCGUCACGAUUCGCCUCGUGUGGCGGCUUAUGUUGAGACGGAUAAUGAACAGGCGCGCCAAGAUGCUCUGGACUUGUUGGACGAACAGCGUGAUGUGGCAGCAGCCCGUUCAGCGAUUUACCAACAAGACCUGCGCCGUUAUCAUAGCCGCGGGGUCAAAUCCCGGGUCUUCCAGGAAGGCGACCUUGUGCUCCGGCUCAUCCAGGAUCAAACAGAUGCACACAAAUUAUCCCCACCUUGGGAAGGGCCCUUUGUGGUCAGCAAGAACUUGCACAACGGGUCAUAUUACCUCAUUGAUAUUCGGGAGCAUAAAGAUUCGCGUAAAUCUGAGGAGGAGACCCGUCGGCCGUGGAACAUAGCUCAGCUUCGGCCUUACUACACUUGAGCUACCGGCUCUCGUGGUGUACAUAUUUAUCUCAAACACAUAUAUAUAUUAUGAUAAGCAAUAAAGCAGGACCUCUGUCCUUUUUUCUCCUCCAAAUAUGCGUGUGUUGCUUUUUACAUGCUGACUUAAAGGAGGAUCCGGCUUAUGAUCGUAUUUGAAUCUAGCCGUAAGCAGUAAGGUCACCUGGGGGCUUCCUGUUCAAACAUGGGUCGUAUUCGAACCAAAGAGAACAUAACUGUCGAUACCCAUUUGAUUGGCAAAGUGCCGAGCUCAUUGGGAAGUUGCCUUUGGUCAUAUUUGAAUCACAGCUUAACCCCUCUGAGAGCCGACGUGGAUCGUAUUCGAAUCAGCGUCGUUAAACAAUUUUAAGAAUCACUUGGGGGCUUCCUGUUCAAACAUGGGUCGUAUUCGAACCAAAGAGAACAUAGCUGUCGGUACCCUCUUGAUUGGCAUCGCCACACCCACUGGGGGCUAUAUGAUCGUAUCCGAAUCUUAGCUUAACCCCUUGGGGCCGGGUCUUUGGUCGUAUUCGAACCGAAAGCCCCUAAGUUCUUCUGCUUUUUCACAAGUUUAUUCUGAGGUAUGCAUGGCCGGGUCUCACUUGCCGGCUUAACUUUGGUUUACAGUGUUAGUUGUUCGUCAUGGGUGUCAUUAAAGCAAGUAAAUCAGAGUUAAGGUGUCAACCUUACUGCCCGGGUUAUUUAAACCGGAAGAUGUCUACAGGCUGUUAAGUGUGUUAUUUUGGCUAUGUUCAGAGUAUAAUUAAGGACCGGCCUUUUUUGAUUCAUAUUCCGGGUUAUUUAUCUCAAACACCUGAUUCUCAGGGCGGUAAGCCACCUCGAGACUUGUGAUUUGCCUUUUCUAUGCAGAUAUUUAAAGGCAUCUUUUGAGGUUGAGAAAAACAAAGGGAUGAUUAUGACCCGGAGAUAUAUCAAAGAGACAAAUUCAAAGGGCUUUUGCAUUCAAAACAUGCACGAUGACACGGCAGAGAUAAAUUGUUGCACUUACUCCAUUACAAUAAUUUUUCAAGUCUAAAAGAUGGAACAAUGUUUGAUAAGCCGCCAGCUAACUUAUGAUGCCCGCUGAGUUGAAGUCCCCGGCUCAUUUCUGUCUUCUCCUCCGGCUGAUCCCAAGACCUCGAAGGUCGUUGAUUUCUAGUUGAUGCCGCUGAGAGCUUCGAACUGGGCUUCUUCGUCAAUUAACCCGGCCGGGUCAAUCUCCGGGGCGAAGGUGUGCUGACGAGCCGGAGGGAUCAGAUUAAGGGCUUCAUAGCGAGGGGUUGGAAUCCGUUGAUUCUCCGCAUCAUAACCCGGCUGAUACUUGGUUAAGUCGGUGUCGUUCCCGAUGAGGGUGGCCACAGGGCGUACAGCCUUCACACAUGCCGCGAAGUCCUUCUGGUCGAAGGCUGAGCCGUCUUCCUUCAGGCUUGGGUAACCCAGGGCGAUGUCUGCCGGGUCUAGCUCCGGCAGGAAUGCUUUGGCCCGGCUCAGCGCGGCAAUUGCUCCGGCUCUCGCGGAGGCCCGUCGUAGCUCCUGGAUCCGCUGCGGCAGAACAGCGAGCCGGCGCAGGACUUCGGCCAGAUGAGUUGGCACCUCGUUGGAUAGGGCCACCACAGCUAAGGCACGCUGUGACCCGGUGUAGAGUUGUUCCACCAGGGUGUACACGGCCUUUAACUUGGUGACCACGCUCUGGUUGAGGUUGGCACUCCUGGGACCUGUUUAACAAGAUCAGAUAAGCCGAUGACAAGGAUGAAUCAUGACAUAUACAGACUUGAUGAAAGCCGGUGAGGUGACUUACCGAAGAUAGCGGCCACCAUUUGGGAAACCUGGCGCUUUAGGCCGGAGAGCUCAGCGGUCUUCUCAGUAAGGGCCUUCUUCGCCUGUUCUGCCCAGGUUACCAGUGCGGCCUUCUCUUCGACCCAGGCUUUCCCCUCAGCAUCAAACUCGGUCUUCAACUUUUCUUGAGUGGCAAUGCUGGAUACAAACUUGGCGUUUGCCUUCCGGGUCUCCGUCUCCUGCAUCUUUAGCCGGCUCUUGAGAUCCGCAAGGUCCGCCUCUAGUUUCUUGCCAAUAGCCUGCAUGUAUUUCCGGGUUUAGUAACAGUUGAUUAUAUAAGUCCCAAGCGCCUUCCAAGCAAAGGCACUUGGCACUUGGGGGCUAAUGCAUAUUGAACGUAUCUAUCUACGUACUGCCGGCUCAGUUGCGUAAGCCGGAGCCUAAGUCUACAACAUAUUCAAGUAUAAGUCAUCGACUUGGGGGCUAGCAUGGCAAAGGUAACUAUGCAGUAAAGUAAGAAGACAGCAGAAGGGUACCUCGGAUUUUUGUUGGAUCUGGUUGACCAUGGCAACCUCGGCGUCCCGGCUCUUGUGGACUUGGCUGAUGUAGCCAGAGACGAGCUCUCCAAUGCUCAAGUCGGUGUAGCCGGAGAGAUUCAGGUUCACCCGGUGGGGCUGCAGUAACUCCCCCUUCGCGGAGCAUUUGGCCAACGCGGUCGGUCUCCCCGACUCAACGAAUUCCGUCCGGGUGAUGAUCACGUCCGGGUCGUCUGCUGGUGGAGCUGAGCCGGAGGCCUCCGGAUUAACCGAAGCUUCGAUUGUUGUCUUGGUAGUCGGGGCAGGGGCCUCAGGCGCCGUGUCCAUUGGAGUGGUGGCUUCGGGGGCGAAGGCAGUUGGCGGCUCUUGAGCCGUCGCCUCCGGUUCAGGCAAGUCUGGCACUCCGGCUGACCUGGUCUUCUUUGCUCUUUUGGUGAGCUUUGCCUGGGCACUGAAAAGGCAGAAGUGUUAGGCACACAAAGAGUAAGUACAGACAGAUAAUGUAAGGAGAUUGUUAUUACCCGGGUGCAGUCUUGAAGGCCGGCAGACUUGACUGCAUGGAGUCACCCGAAGAGGGGGAGGUCUCCUGAUAAUUGGAGUCAGAAGAGUUGAGUGACUGACGGAUAACACCCGCCAACGGAUGAAAAGGGUACAGGUGAGAAAAAACCUCAGUGCGACGCUUCCUUGUUGCGUCAGGUAACCCGGCGGAGAGGUCGGUGUCCUUGCGGGCCCGGGUGUGACGCCGGCUUUCGUGAACCUGUUGCUUCAAAAGAAAUUGAGGGUCUUGAUGAGCUAAUGGAUGUGAAAAGCUUACUUUCCGGGUUACUCUUCGGACUUUCAGCUGUGGCAAAGGCUCCGAGUCGGAGGAAAGUGACGUUACCUCUUCAACCACCGGGUUACUGGCGCCGGUGUCAUCCUGUCAAUAAGCAAAGUGUUGAUGAGGCGGACAGCAACAAACAGCAAAUAUAGCAAGAAUUUCAAGGUUUAAGGAUUACCUCUGACUCGGAGAUGUCGCUUAAUUGCAGUAGCUCCGAAGCAGUGGGUCUGCUUCCCUUUUUGCGAGGGGCGGUUUUCUUGGCGGCUUUCUUUGCCUUCCUGGCCUUCUUGGCCGCCUCAUGGUCAUAUUUGACCCGCCAGAAUUUAUCAUCAGACUGAGAGAUACAAUGAUUGAUUCUUAAAACGGUUCAGUUGAAGGAUGUAUGCAGACGAAGAUAAAAGUUAAAGUCAGCGGCUUACCGCUGGGGCUGGAUUGGUCUUGCAGAAGGGGGCUAGCCCGGUUCUUCCGCAGUCUGCCAAGCUCUCGUUUAAAAGAGCCUUGGUCUCUUCUUCUGCAACGUCUUCUGGAAGAUCAUUGCGACUGUGCCUCUGCGGGUCAUCUUUCGCCCGGUGUACUCACACAUUAAGCCGGGGCGGCGGCUCAAUGGGAUCACCCGCCAUGAGAUCCAGACCCGGACCAGAUCAAUUCCGUUCAGACCGUUGCCUAGCAGGGCCUUGAUCUUAUUGAUCGUUGGAAGCAGAGGCUGGCAUUCCGCGGCAGUCAGUUUGUCGGAUAGCGGAUGAGUCGGCUCUAGGCGCGUUGGGCGAAAGCCGGGCAGCGGGUUCUCAUCAGCCGGGGACGUAUCUUGGCAGUAGAACCAAGUCAUAUUCCAGUCCUUGGGGUGGCUUGGCGGCUCUGCGUAAGGGAACAGACAGUCCCUACGCCGCUGGAUGGAGAUGCCGCCUAAUUCCAGACUUGGCCCGUUGGCACACUCGUUUUGGCGGUUUAAGUAGAACAACUCUCUGAAAAGCAGUAAACUGGGCUCUUCUCCAAGGUACACUUCGCAAAAGACUUGGAAGUUGCAGAUGUUGGAUACGGAGUUGGGUCCUAUAUCCUGAGGCCGUAGGUCAAAGAAGUUCAGCACGUCCCUGAAGAACUUUGAGCCGGGCGGUGCGAAGCCCUGGCUCAUAUGGUCUGCGAAGAUCACUACCUCCCCGUCCCUUGGCUGUGGUCUCUCUUCCGACGGGUCAGGGGCACGGUAGGACAUGGUUUCCUUCUUAGGUAAAUAUCUGGACUUAACGAAAUUGGCCAGGGUCUCGUCGGUGACGUUGGACCUCAUCCAGUUGCAAGUGAUGGGAGCCUUGGGAGGCAUGGUGAAAGUUGGUGGUCUAUGAUAAAGAGAAAAGUGUCCGGGUUAAAUAUAAGCCGGAGAUAUAUUGUUCAAACUAAGAUGGCGGCUUAUGAAGGGGGCUAAUGAUAUAUAUUCAGAUACAGUGGGUUAUUUAAGCCACAGGGGGAUUCAGAGUAAGUUGGUUAUCUACGAUUUUACCACAGUUAAGCCGGAGGAUUCUAUGGCGCAUGUUCUCUUUAAGCCGGAAAUGUAAGCCGCCAAGAUUCAGUGGUUGCAGUUUUUACUAAGUGUGGUAAAACAGGUUUCACAUAUGGCAGUAACUUUUUUGGAUCAAAAUGGGCGGGUGGAAUGAAAACUUUCUAGACCUAGAAACAGACAAGCGGAUGUUUUUUGAGCUCGAACGAAACAUCUAUAUAGUAGAAGGAGAUCUACUGGUACUUGAAAUGAGGCCUAAACAACUACCGUGCUAGUUCUAUGCAAGGCUAAAGAUCAACCAAGUGCGGUGACUACGAAAGCUACUGAGGUUUGUGGCAAUGGCGAUGAACGCGAAGAACACAAGACGAACCCUACAGUAGAUCUAUCUGACAGGGCAAAGGAGACUCACCGGAGUUGGAAAAGAGCGGAGGUCGCUGCCGUGAAUCUGGUCCGGAUCAGGGUGAUGCAGCGGCCGGGUUGAUGAAGACCAGGGGCGCGACGGCGACGGCAGUGGCGGAGCUCGGGCGGAGGAGUGACGGCGCGAGGAGGAAGAAGAGGGCGUGAGAAGGACCCGUUGGUCCGGCCUAUUUAUAAGGCAAGGUCAUAAGUGGGCGCGAGAUUCAAGGAGACCGUGGCGUGAUUAUCUCCCCCUCACGACGCCUCGAUUUUCGGAAUGACAGUAAAGCAAAGAUCCGUUGCGGAUCUGGAGGAGUAAAAAACGGACUUAAUGGAGAAUGACGUCACGGCGGAUUAUCCGGAGUCCAGAGGAUGACGUCACUCCGGGUUAUGGCCUUCACAUGAAUGAUAAGCCGGAGAUUUUUUCCGUCAGAAGAGUUGAAGAUUGACAUGAGCCGGCUCAAAUCAAUCUGGGGCCUAAUGUUGAGGAUAUAGACCUUAGAGUCACCCGCCAGGAGGGGCCGGGUUACUCAUACGGUCGUUGCCAGAAGCCCGGAGCCAAGUUUCAAGACGAUGGGCCAAGAGAUGGGCUGAGACCCGGAUAUGGCUUAAGGCUCGUAGUCAUAAUCAUUAUUAUAGUAGAACUUGUAGCGUAAGGCAAGCAUAGUUUAGAGUCCGAGCCGGAUACUCUUAUAAGCCGGCCGGGACUCUAAGGGCUGCUGGGCGUCAGUCUCCCUAUAUAAAGGGACGACCCGGCAGCGGUUUAAGGGCGACAACAAUCUCAUCGAGAGCCGGGCAUAACAGUUUAACUCCCUGGUGAUCGAAACCCUAAUCAAUACCACCUCAAACUGGACGUAGGCUUUUACCUUCACCGUAAGGGGCCGAACCAGUAUAAACCCUCGUGUUCCUUGUCCCGCAUUAACCCCUUCAAGCUUCCUGGCUGCGAUGGCUCCACGACUAAGUCCUAGCUCGAGGACAUCUGCCGUGACAAUUCCACGACACCUCUCCUUCCCCAUGACCGGUCGGGUAGAGUACGAGUCCCCCCGGGAACGGGCGGCCCGCCGUGGUAAGCAAAGGAUAAGGGCCGCCGAGGCCCGUCUCGCAGCGAAAAUGGAGGCGGCCGAAGCGGCGGCGCGGGCGGCCGCAGAGGAGGAAGCCAUCCGCGCCCACAUUGUGAAGAAACGACAGCGGAGGAACAGAAUCGGGCGGUCCGUGCCAUGGCCGGACUGCCACCGAAGGAGGAGGAGGACAGCGACGGCUAGGACAGCUCCGGCGACGAGCAGAUCCGGCUUGAUCCGUACUGCGUAUUCGACCAGUACUUCCGCGAGAAGGACGGCAAGGGCAGCCGUGGAUGAACUCCAGCAUAGACAAACAUGCCAAAUUUUGGUAGUCCGAUGGCAUGUUUAGUGUAGUGUGAUGGUGUAGCCGGACGAUGCGUGUGCGUCGACGUAGUUGCAUGAGUUUGUAUGGAUUUGAGAUAUGGUAAUUGAGAUGUCCGGAUGUGGAUUGCCUUUUUUGAGGGGUGCCCGAUCAGUGCGCGCGGACGCGCCCGGGCGCGUCUGCGGGCAUUUGAGGUGCCGGAUUUGUCAAAUCCGGCCGUAGAUGCUGUUAGAUCUUUUAUUCAGACGAGGUGGAUUAAGAGGAUCUUUGUGACUGAUUGCUUUGCUACUAGGUCCGCACUGAGUAGAGAGGAGCAGUUAACGAACAACAAACUAAAUAAUGCCUCGAUUGCCAUGCAUCUGCAAAGUGCACAGGGCUCGCAGUGGUCAGUCAGGGGUCCACGUUUAUCAUGGCGCCGCAAAAGCUGGAAUGACAGAAAUGUUUGUGUAAAAAGAUCAUUAGAUUUCCAUGUUUCCUUUGUGCUCCGGUGAAAACGGAACACUACAAUGUUCAUACGCCGAGAUGACGGGAAGCAUGUGUUGCUGAGUAGGAGUGACACAGUGCAUUCCUCCUACGGUAGCUGUUUGCGAAAGCGCCAAACAUAAGACUCCAGGGGAAAUAAUCCGUUCGACCUUGGCAACACUUGUUAUGGGUCGGGGAGAGUAGUGAUAUUAUGUAAAAAGAUGUGGCACACAUCCGGUAUCUUGUGGGCAAAAGGAACAUAUUAACCAUGCAAAAAAAAGGAAGAACGUGAGAGAAAAUCUAUGUUUGACGGCACUCUCACGUAUUAAUAAUCAGUUUGUCUAAUUUAAAUGUAGAUGUUUUCUAAGGAUAUCACAUCUAACGUUCCACAAAUAAGUCAUCAACAAAAACAACACUGGGACAAAAAAUAUCACAAACAUAGUGAAAAUUAGGUUAGAUGUGACAUAAUUAUCUCACAUCUAGAUGUGUCCUAAACAGACUCAUUAAUCAUGUGUUACCACUCGUGCAGAGUCACAUGAUGAGCCAAAUAGAAAGAGAGAAAGUCACGAGCUCGUUGACAUGCACGCACGGCUACCCGCCUCUGUAGACUGCCCUACGCACUCGCGCGCAACUUUCGCUCGGCCGGCGGGGCAGGGCGUGAGGUCCACGGCUCCUAUUGCCGACCCAGAUCGCUGCUGCCUCGUCUACCUGCCAAAAGCCAGGUAUUGCUCGCCGCUUUCAACACGGCGCCGGGGGCCUCAUGUGGAGGGAGGAACAGGCGCACUUGAACAGUGCCCGCCUACUCCCGCUGUUGGAUCAACACAAAAUGCCACACACGCCUCGCCUGGGACGCCAACGCGUUCGUGUCAAAGGUGUUGGAGAAAUCAAACUGCAGACGGACGUCGAACUGCCAACAAGUUCACUGUACGCUGCCAUCGGUCUGGUGACCAUGGAUCAUGACGGAUCUAUCGAUUUGCGCGGCGCUUUUCUUUCAGUUAAGACGCAGCGCCAGUGCCGCCGGCCAGUGCACCCCGUCGCUGCCGGCUCCGCGCGCGUUCGUUGUUGGACCACACGACACGACCCGGGCGCUGUACCGGCGCGCGAUGUGUGUAGUGUGUAGGGGGCAUCGUGUGCCAUGUAACGUACAGUGUGACCACGCGCCGGUGAGCUACGUUGGGCAUCUACCUAUGGAGUGAGUUGCCGUCGGUCCACCUGAGGCUCCGCUCGACCCACCACAAUUAACAUGGAGCAUGACAUUUUUUUCACAAUGAAAAGCUUGGGAAGAAAUGCCGCCCAUUCAAUCACGAUCACUGAAAACAAACGGGAGAAGCGAGGAGGAGCGAGUGUACCAGAUGAUCGCAAUGAUCAUUCCUCCGGUUGCUGACGCUAGGUCCGUACUGAUCAGAGUAGCUAACGAACAACGAACUAUUCAAUGCGUCGAUUGCCAGCCGUGUCAACUGGAUCUGCCAAAGUGCAGAGGGCCGGCUCGCAGCGGUCGCCGAUCGGUCAGGGGUCCACGCUUACCAUGGCGCCGCAAAGCUGGAAUAGCAUGAGCACUCACGUGAAAUAAAAGGAUCAACAGAUUUUGAUGGCUCUUUUGUGCUCCUCCGGUGAAAACGAAACAUUACUUUGCUCCCGUUCAGUAUGUGCAGCUUUGCAAGAGCCCGGCGAUGUGAAAAGGACUUGCAGCUGCAGUCUCGCCCUGAACCGGCAGCGACGAUCAACGAGUGGCGCAGUGGUGCCACUGCCGCGGUCCUGCCGCCUGCGCGCAUUUGGCCGCGGACGUGCCCCAACGUCGACUGCCGUGCUCCGCACCGCACGGAACUGCAGUCGCGUCGUCGCGCACCCUCGCCUGACCCAGAGGAGGAACAGGGGCCGGGGCCGGCGUCGGCGUCGCCUAUGCUGCUGCAUCGGUCGCUCGCCCCGGUACGCCCCUAUGGCCCUAUCACCAACAAACCCGAAACUUUCCUUCAGUCCUCAGUGUUCUUUUCUCCCUGGCCAAAUCUCGGAACAAGGAAUGAAACUCUACCCUUGCUUCUCCAGUAAAAUCUUACUAGUAAUCAGAAACCCAGUGCUCUGUCUCAAAGAAACCAACAUCAAACGGCUGUUAUUUAGAAAUAAAGAUUCUCGUUAUUCUUCGCUUGCCUACAAUUUGUUGUCUUCACAUAUGCAUUUUGAUUUUCGCUAUUGGAUAUUAUACCAUAAAGUAAUGAAUGAUAGCGUAUUAUUAUUAUUAUUAUUAUUAUUAUUAUUAUUAUUAUUUUGAUGAAUGAAUGGCUGUCAAAAUAAGUUUUUCAGUGACUAUUUCAAAAGUUGACAGAACACAUGUUUUUGUCACCGUUUCAAAAUACUCGUUCGUCCAUUUUAGUUAUUUUAGAAUAUAGUUAUUAAAUCGAGCUCGCCCAUUUAGAUUAUUUUCAGGACACAUCUCACUUUUCAAAGAAUGAGAUAAGUUAUUUUAGAGAAGGUUUCAUUUAUUACAAAUGAUUUCGCUGUCUUAAAAAAUGACUUCAUCCAUUACAGUUAUUUCAGACAUAUUUGAUAGUUUCAAAAAUUGGGUUCACGCCUUUCAGUUAUUUAACAACAUAGUUCCCGUUUCUAAAAAAAAAACAGUUGUUUCAGAUAAGAUUUCGAUAUUCUAACUAAAUUCGCUUAUUCCGGAAAAGAAUUCAUAUUAAAAAAAGACUUCAUCCAUUUCAAAUAUUUCUGACAUAUUUCACUUUUUCAGAAAAUGAGCUCUGUUAUUUCAGAGAAGAUUACAUUUUUCGAAAAAAUGAUUUCACUCACUCAAGAAAGAUUUCACCUUUUUAGAAAAUGAUUUCAGACAUUUCAGCUAUUUCAGAGCCUAUUAUUUUUCAUAGCUUAAAAAAUUGAGCUCAUCCCUUUCAGUUAUUUAACAACAUAUAUCACUUUUUUUCAAAAAGAAGUUCAGUUGUUUCAGAGAAGAUUUCAUUGUUCCAAAAAUAGUUUGCACUUAUUCCAGGAAAGAUUUCAUAUUUUCAAAAAAUGACUACAUCCGUUUCAAUUACUUACUUCAGAACAUAUUUCACCUUUUUUCAGAAAACAAGGUCACUUAUAUAAGAGAAGAUUGGACUAUUCCAAAAAUGAAUUCAUUUACUCUAGAAAAUAUUUCACUAUCUGAAGAAAAUGAGUUCAUCCAUUCAGUAAUUUUAGAACAUAUUUCAUAUUUUCACCAUUUUUGUUCAUCCCUUUUAGUUAUUUAACAACAUAUUUCACUUAAAAAAACAAUUUUAGUUGUUUGAGAGUAGAUUUCAUUGUUCCAAAAAAGUUUUCACUUAUUCCAUAAAAUAUUUCAUAUUUCAAAAAUGACAUAUUUUUUCAAAAAACGAGUUUGGUUAUUUCAGAGUAGAUUCAACCGUUCCAAAAAAAUAAUUUCACCUACUGAAGAAAAGAUUUCACUAUUUCAAAAAAAAACGAGUUCAUCCAUUUUAAUUAAAUCUUUUCAAAUUGAUAAAAAAAUAAGUGAUUUCAACUUUCACAAUAUAUUUCAGUUUCAUUUAUUUGAGAACAUAUUUUACUGUUAUGUAAUUUUGAGUUCAGUUAUUUCAGAACACAUAAUUGCACACAUUUCAUUAAAUCAAAAACAGUUAACAAAUUGAAAAUGGAUGUUUCAAUCCAUCUCAAUUUUGUUUUCGCUUUUAGAACCGACAUUUCAAUUUAAGAACAUGCCUUUUACUCCAGAACGUGCAUUUCAAAACCACAAAGUUGCACAUCAAAUUCACAUACCACGGAACAUGUUCCAUUUUCGUAAAUCCGCACAUCAGUUUCACUAAAAUCUCAAAAUUUCGCAUGCCGGCAAUUGCAAAAGAUCACUUCAACCCACGAAUAGAGAGAGCCAUGAUAACCUCACACAAUAAAGCCAGUAAGAAAGAAAGGCAACCGGGUGUUAGGGUUUCUUCCCCUCCAACCGGCGCCGCCACUGAUCUACCUCGUCUCUUGGAGGCGUGCAGUGGAUCCUCGCCCUUGCAGGCGGGAGGGCUCAGGCUUCGUUUCUUGGCGUUUUCUACUCUGUUUAGUUAUCGUGUCUUGCUCAGAAAGGCGAGGCGGCGCCGACUUUCUGAGGACAGAAUAAGGUUCUCCCCGUCUGCUCUCGUCUCGGUGGUGCGACUUGCGUCGUCGGGGGAUUCGGUCGAUGUUUGUCUUUGAUGGAUCCCGUCUUCAUUCGUCCGUGUUCAUGUGUCUAUUAGUUGGAUCCUUUCGAUCUAUGCUUUUCUUCAUCGACGACGCUUGCUAUUCGGGUUAGUUGUUCGUUCGGGGCCUUAGCACGAUGAUUUUCCGACUGUCUGCUAUAAUAAAGUUUGCCUGGCUCCGAUGUGGGAGGGCGACAGCGGCAGCGUGCCUUCGGAUUGCUCCAGUGUUUCGGCGCACAGUCACCACCCAAGGUGACCCCCGACACAAGCGGACGAGCGAGACGGCGCCGGGUCGAGCCUUUUCCUCUUUGGCGGCAAGGCGGGUGGCCUGGCCGGGCAGCCGUUGCUGGCCGGCUCUGCUGUGACUGCUAACCUCUUCACUGUGCGACGCUGUAGCUCUCGCUGUGGAUCGCGGGUCGCUUUGCAGUGCUGCAGUGCGCCGCCGGCCUCGUCGCCCGCUCGCGCUGGACCAGUGCAGUGCAUGGACCGCUCGCUCCGAUCCAGCGGCGCGCCAUGGGCGUUGGUGUGGAGCAGUGGAGGGCAUCAAUAAUUCUACGUGCUCGUGCCCGCGCGGCGGCGCUGCGCAUCUACCCACCACCUUUCUGUUAUUACCGCGAGCCCACCCGGCUCACCGGAACACGGAGCUGGAUAAAAUGUCAAAAGAAAAAACGGGGGGGAUGUUGCAAUGAUCGUUUUGAAGAUGGUGCCUGGCCCCGGUUAGAUUUUUCAUUGAGACGAGGUGGAUCUUGCGAGCGAUUGCUCUGUACCUAGGUCCGUACUAGAGCAGGGCAGCUAAGGAAUAUCUAACUCAUUAAUGCGUGAAUUGCCAAAUGGAUCUGAAGAAGCGCAGGGGUCCACGUUUAUCAGGGAGUCCCACAGGAAUGGAUCUGUCGACGCAAAAAUAUCACCAGUUUUUCGUGCUCCUCAGUUCCUCCUGCGCUCAAGUCAAAACAGAGCGUCCUAUUAACGUUUUUGUACCAGGUGCAUGGCGCGAGCUGCGUGCGUGCCGCUGGCAAGGAAAGCUACCACUCAGGCAGGCAGCCAGGUGGUACUCCACCCAGUAGCCCGUACGCUGCGCGGCCGGUGCACCACCACACCACGUUGAGCAGCACGGCGGCCUUGCCAGAGCCCAGCGAUGGUGCGAGCAGGGAAAGAUCGCAGCUGCGGCCGCAGGCCGCAGGUUGCAGCAUGUGCUGAGCUGCCGGGCGGCAGCUACCGACGAUCCACGAAUGGCGCCGUGCUGUGGUGGUCACCGCGCUCCGCUGUGUGCCCGUGCCCCGACGUGUCCUGUACUGUACUGCGCUCAACUGCAGUCGCCCUCCCCUGAGGGGCAGGAGCUCUACCUGCAUCGGGCGCUGCGCCGCCACGGUCCAGGGAGGGUGCCAACGGUCGGUCGGUCUUGCGGUCACGCCCGAAUCAUGACGAGCCCAUUGAUUGAUGCCGACAUACCGGCCUCUGGCUCUAUAGCUCUUCAACGCCAACGAAUGAAGCCACGCACCUGCAUCUACUAAUCAGCAACUUUGGCGGGAAAAGAAAACUCUAUGCACAUUCAACAGGAUAAAUUGACAGGUGCUCAAAGAACCAGUGCUGAUCCUAAGAUUUUAGGGGCCGGGUGAAAUUAAAACUCUGGGUCUUUUACAGCAUCUACGGCCCGAUUUGGCAAAUCCGGUCCUUAUACGUUUGCUGACACAGCCGGACCACCCCUCAUAUGUCCUGUAGAGCAGUCACGUAUCUUAGGCCUUGUUCCGUUCAUGGGAUUUUCUGCCAUCCAAAGGAAAGUUUGCUUUCGUAGGUUUUCUUUCCUUUUAGCUGUUCGGUUGAAAGGAAAGGUACUCAACAUUCCGGCCUCCUUUGGUUCAUAGGGUAGGAAAAUCGUACGAACAGGAAAGUUAUAGGAAAUGAGAUGACAUGUAUCUCAAAUCCUAUGAGUAGGAAUAGGAAAGGAGAUGCCCUUUGAUUCACAUCAUUAGAUUUUUUUCAUUGUGUCUAGGCUAAUGUUUAUUUUCCUAUGAAAUGUGGAGGAUAGAAAGAAUUCCUCCAUAGGAAUAUGAUUCCAUUCCUACAAACCAAAGGGCUCUAAAGGAUUUUUUCCUAUAGAAAUCCUAUCCUAUGAAAUUCCUACAAGAUUCCUCUAAACCAAAGGAGGCCUCCAUCGGAAAGGAUCAUCAGCCAUGCAGAUUUUACAGGAUUGAACAAAUCCACCCCGGCCUCAUUUUUGGGCGGAGUCCCGACGAAGAGCAGAGGAAUUGCACUGUUGGUAGAAUAAAGUAUAUUCAAUCAUGUGGCUGAUCAUGAGGUGCAAGAAGAGAUCGACAGGUAGAGUGCAAAUAAAAUAUUGUAUUAGCCACUGUUCAUUACUUGGUCUUCAUGCGUUCUCUCUAGGCCAUCCGAACGCAAGUUCCGCUCUACUUUCCCUUCUUUUCCUGUUUCAAAGUUUUCAACUGUUCAUUCAGUCCGAUUCGUACGCAGUUUUUCUUUCCGAUGUUUUCUAUACCUGCACUCCGAACGGAGCCUUAAAUUCGGAUUAUCAAAUACAUGCAAAGUCAUGCACGUCCAUCAUACACGUCAAUGUCGCACGUGCAUAACAAAUGUUGGUAGCGGAAAUACAUAUCAGAAAACUGAUAUUAAGUGCGCAAAUUAAACAUUAGCUAUCUUAUUUUUAUUGUGGGUCCACAUAUGCUCCACAAGAUCAUUGAGUAGCCGCGCGUGCAGCUGGUGAUCUCAAAGAUUAUGAUGCAGAUGCAGAAAGUUCGUAAGCUGAUUUGCAUCUCGAUCUUUUGGGAUUUGAACUUGUUCUCCAGAUGCUUCAAAAUCAUUGGUUUGGGCUACCCAUCACCCUCAUAUUGUGUAGAUAACACAACAUGUCAUUAGCCGCCACAAAGUUUCUGAUUCCCGCAUCAUUGCAGCUCCACGAACAAUUCUCCAACGAGCUUGAAGCACUUCGAAUGCGCUCUUCACAUCCUUCCUAGCCGCUUCCUGCAUUGUUGCAAAGUGAUUUUGUUCGUUGCCUUGAGGUUCGGAUAUGGUCUUCUCAAACGCCGCCCACUUCUCCGUUCAUUGAGCCCUUAAAGUUAGAGAAUAUGCUUCACCUACGGUCCAUCUCCUCUUGCAUGCUCAUCAGCAUGAUCGUGUCCACUUCUUCAUCCAAAUCCGCCGAAUCGAAGAACUAAUCUUCAAUCAUUUUUUUCAAGCUUCGUCAGUCCAUACUCAUGUUCGACGAAGCAACAGAAUCCAUCGUUUUUCCUACGGAUGAAUCACAAAAAACCGGGCUGAACAAUGUGUCGAACACAUAGAGCGCAAGGGGUAGCCCGAAAGUUGCCGGACGUACGGUGGUGGCCUCCAGACUGGCGAUGAUGUCUGUGGCGGCGAGCACGGUAGAGAAGACUGGAGUGGCGGUGCUGAGUCUUGGGACAACGUCGGAGAAAGGGUGGCGGGGGAGGGGGGGGGGCUACAAGACGCCAGGCGCGGAGGAGGAAGAAGGGAGGAGAGAGCAAAUGAAAUCGGUAGGUUGAGGGGGUGGAUUUGGUGCAAAUACUGGUGGGGUCGUGGUGUCGGGUCCAACGUGGUGGACACGUCCGGACCUCCCCAUAUCCGUCCAUAUGGGUCGGUCAGCACGGACGUUUGAGUCCCGUUUAAGACAUCUGUCUGGGUUGAUUUUUUUUUACCGGUCAGUGACCGUGAUCGUCUGCCUGGAGCAUUGAGGGAGGGUUGAGGCGCCCGGGUCUAGAUGCUCUUAGAUGUUUUAUUGAGACGAGGUGGAUUGGGAGAAUCUUGCGAGUGAUUUGCUUUGGAACGAUGGUCCGUACUACUACGUUCCAGUAAAAUCAUGCUUCGUCCUGGUUUAUUGGCCCCCUUGUGUUUUGUCUAAAAACUUGACCAUAAAUUUAACUAACAAAAAGUUGAUGCAUGUCAACAAAAAAUAUAUCGUUAGUUUCAUAUUUGAACAUAGGUUUUGAUGAUAUUAUUUUUGCUAUGUAAAACAUGUAUUUUGCUAGUAAAAAUUAUGAUCAAAAUAUGACUCUAAAUACGAAGGGAACUAAUAAAUUAGGACGGAGGCAGUAGUAGAUAGGAGUAGCUAACAAACAACGAACUAAAUAAUGACUCGAUUGCCAGCCUUUUCAAGUGCAUCUGCCAAAGUGCAGAGGGCUCGCAGCGGUCAGUCAGGGAUCCAUGUCUACAAGGCGCUGCAAAGCUUGAAUAACAGAAAUGUUUGUGUGGAAAGAUCAUCUACUGCGCCGGUGAAAAAGACACUACAGUAAUCAUGUGACGUCUAGUUCGAGACACAGGUCCAUUAUUCAUGCGCCGAGAUGAUGGAAAUCAUGUGUUGCUGAGUAGGGGCGAUACAGGGCAAUCCUCCUACGCUAGUACUCGCUCGAUCUUAUAACAUAAUAGCAACUCCAACGGGCCGAUCUAAACGGACGGCGUUUUUGUCCGCUUUUUGUCUAUUUGGGUCGGCCCGGCGGACACAAACGUCCAGCGCUGUGUUUGGGUCGGCGUGAGCGCCCAACGCUGGCCCAACCCAUUUCGUCGGCGCGCCAAAAAAAGUAUUGCAAGCAUUUUAAAAAUAAAUACAUGCAUUUAAUUAAACACUAGUAAAUGUGCACGUGCAACGCACGUCUAGACAAACAUACAUGUAUUGAAGAAGCUGACUUCAGGCCAUCGUAUUUUUCGUUACAUAUGCAAUCGUUCAAAAUUUGCAAGUCGUAUUAUUACAAUAUUAUCCAAUAGAAGCUGGAAACCCCUUGUUGCACAAUGAAUAAUUUAAAGUGUUCAUCGCUAUUCUCCAUUUGUGCAGACACGCAUGCAAAUACCAUUUCAGUGCCAAUAAAAUUCAAUGAAUGACUAUCACUAUGAGAAAACCAAGUCCGUCAUCGACAAAAGUGAGAAGCGGCCAAUGUCAGACUGUAGAGAUAACACCCUGAAGGGAGUAUGAAGACUAAAAUCUGAAACAAACUGAAUAUCAUCUUCUCAAUGAGAAGAAAAAGACAACCUAUCAGAACCAAAGUAGGGCCUGUCACAUUUGUAAUGAUUAUACCUCACAUCCACACUUGAAUCUUGGAGUUGCUGGUUGUUGAUAUUGAAUUUAUGAACACAGUUUUUAAGUGCAGCCUUGUUGCCCUUCUCACUGUUAUGCGGAAUCGAAAGAUUGAAAUCAUUCCUAAGCAUGAAAUUUACAUGUAGCCUUGUCCCCUGUUACUGUUCUUCGGAUCAAAAAUUUGAAACGAAGAGCAACAAGAUCUUGAGGUACAACAUAUAGCAUCAGGAGAAAAAAUGGCUCAAGUUUGAGAACAAACAUAAACAGACAUGCAAUAAUCCUGAAGCUGUCACAAAUUCGAGAUCCUAGAUUAUGAGUAUGUAAUGCUUAAUAACAACCUCAUGAAAACGGUAUCAAUGUGGCUAAAGUUCAGGGAAAACAAUUCUUACAUUUUACCCGUAUUCUCUGCACUAAGGCAAACUGAUGCAUGAACACACUCCAUGUUACAACUUUAGAUCUUGUGGGUUUUUGUAUUUUUACUACAUUGUUUUUAUAUGUGCAAUAAGAAGCUCUCAUGUCGUUUUUAUCCAAACAAAUAGUCCAGUUCUAAUAUUCUCUUAACAAAACCAAAAUGCAGCUCUAAUGACAUUAAAAAACAUAAAUCUUCAAUUCCCAGGGAAAGAAGUAUACAAAGAACUGCGAUCCACAUACCUGUGAUCACCAAAACAGAAAGCAGGGAGGAUAACAUAGCGUCCUCAUAGUUGUGUCAUUUCUGCUAUUUGUUGCCAAGUUGCAGGCCAAUAUUGACAUAGAAGUUAAUUAGUGGAGUUAAAUAGAACUGCUAGCGAUCGGUGGCCCUUAUUUGUGAAUAGAAGGUAUGUCCAAAUAAUCUCAUAUAGAUCAGAAUUAAACGCAUACAAAUUUAGAAAACCCAACCAAAGGUCAACAUAUAAUAUAUUAAAGUACAAUGGAAGUACCAUGAAGAGUGGCAUCAUUAGCACGACACACAAACAACUGAAUACCAACACAUCUAUCAUCAUCUAUAUACGUUCCCUACCUACCAAGAUAAUACAUCAUUUCCUUCAAAUAAGUUCUAGCUGAACUUGAAUAUAUUUCAUUUGCAGUGCACAAUGAUUGCCGAGCAAAUAAAAAAAAUCAGAGAUUCAGGUUCAGAUCCUUUGAGUACCUUCAGUCAACCUUCUUAAGCUUCAUAGCCACAAAUGAACAGAUUUUUUUAAAGAAAACCAUUCUUAUCAAACUUGAUUUUCUUUUAGGGCCUGUCUAGGGCACAUCUAGAUGUGUACUAGUUAUUGCACAUCUAAGUGACUCAAUCAAACUAAAAAGGAAAAGAAAACUGUUUUAUUUAAGGUGUGCUAAAGAACACUUGUCGAUGUCCAGCAUAACCUAUGACAGGUCCGCCCAAGACCGUAGAUAGGCAUUAGGUCGAACACAUGAUCACCAGUACAGAGAAAACAUAGAAACUCCAUUUAGCUGACCUGUGCUCGGAACUGAUUCAACCUGAAAAAAUGGAUAGCAAUAGCUUAACCUGAGCAAUAGCAUCAGCAAGGAAAGUAAUAUGUAAUUACAGAGAGGUAAACACAUAUAUGUCCUCUCAAAAUACAUAUUCCAGUGAACUGUCAUUGUCUUACUCUCCUUCCUGUAGUAUUUAGAAUUCUUUUGAAGGAAAGCUUCACUAAACAAUUGACAAACUUGCAGGUACCAUUCAAGAGAAAAAUCAAGACAUGUUUUCUUAUGUAUUGACUAUGGCUAAAUAUCUCAUCAUUAACAAAAAAAAUCUGAAUGUGACAAUUCUGAAUUUAAAAAUGAAUAUGGAACAAGCUUAAAUAUAACUGCAAGAUGAGUUCUUGCAAACCAUGCCAUAGAGUGUACAUGGAGAUCUUCAGGUUAAUCGCAUGCAACAUGAAAGGUGCAAAGGAAGUAGCUGUGAGCGUAACAAAUGUUGGGCCUCAAUUAAGACACACACAAUGUCAGAGAAGACUUCGGUUGAGCAAGGCCAACAAAUGCCAAGACUUGUGAGAUAUAAUUGUAACUUCAUAAGGGAUCAAGGAGCUCGCUCGCAUCAUCUCUAGUACAGUUAAGCCUUGAUGACACACCUAUAAGGAAAAAAGUAGCAAUUGGGUGUAAUUCAGCAUCACAGAAUCUCACCAUCUUAGGAGAAAAGAUAAAAUUUGCGCAAUGGAGUUUUAAUAUCAGAAUCUAUAUAUCUUAGAUGUUGCAAGUCAAAAUUAACAGCACUAACAUGGAUGAUUUAUCCCCCGUCACCUUAGCGAGGCCAGAAGCGGUCACUGGGUUAGAAAAGCAUGGGGCUUCAUCGUUGUUUUGUCCCUAAGCAACAAAAUAGUGUGACAACAAAGUUGGUAUAGAUGCAUUUAUCUAGCUCAGCACUUAGAAACAGUGUUUACAUAUACGACAAUGUGAACUGCAGAUUGAAGGUGCCAUGGCCUUAAUUUAAAAUAAUAGCACCAUGGUGUGAUAAUCUUAUGGUGCUGAACACAAAUGUCGAGUAAGAACGAACGCCCAUUUUAGUUACAUUGAUACAGAUGAUCCAUUAGCGAUUUCAAAUAGGAUGCCCAGCAAAAUACCACCCCCACCGUAGAGCACACAAACAAAUAAAGGAAGAUGCUUGCAUGUCAUCCAAUAUUCUGAUCUAGCAAUGAUCUGUACCCUCCUAAUUAUCAUCAUUUAUUCACAGUACCUCCAAAAGAGCAAGAAAAAAAAGUAGUGACCAUGGUAAAGAAUUUACCAGCAUGAAAAGCUUGUGCUCCCGACUGUAAUGGAUAUGUUACACUUAUAUAUCCUGUGAACUGUAAAAUCAUGAUUUACUAAUUAGCUAAUUCUAAUAGUCCGUAACAAUAUGUAAAAAGUUGCCAGGAAACAGAAUUAUGAGGAAAUGCAUAAAUGAAUGUUUACCUUUAUGGUUCUGGUGAUAUGCACGAACGCUACCUCCUCCUUUCAUUGAAACUUCUUGGGCCUCGCAAUCCGUCGAAUGUAAAACACGGGUCUUCCUCCCCGGCGGCGACCAAAACGAUGAGCCAUGCCACCACGCUUCCCUCUUUUCUUUUCUCUCCUCCUCCUUCAUUCUCUAACCACCGGUGCAGCCGUACAUGAGGCAUCACGCCGCCACCGAAGUCGUCUGCACCCGCCGCCGCCGCCCCAGAUCCGGUCGCCUCCGCCUAUUCCCAGCAGCGACAGAAGUGCCGGCGUCCUCCACGAGCUCCUCCGUGUCGCCUCGCCGUCGCCGCCAUCGCCUUCCAUUGACCCGGCGAGAUGCGCCGCCGACACCUGGAUCCCGCAUCCCCGACCGCCUCGAGCUGCGUCACCCGCACUUCCGCACGGCCCAACAGUCGCAGACUCCGCGCUUAAGGAGAGGGUAGGUGGAGGAGCGCCGGGUGGCGAGCCGCUCCCAAGAACGGCACCUGGGGCCCUGAUUGUAGCGCCGACAGUUUUCUAGAUGAUCCACGUUGAGGCUUUUUGUUCGUGUGUUUGAGUUUAGAAGCGGCAGGAGGCAGGAUAUGAUGCAUAGAAGGAAAUCAUUUGCGUGAUUUCAGGAUCGGGAUCAUUGCCUUCCGUGAUUGUAGGGGACGCGGGAUCGCAGAGACUCCUUUCGUGGUGGAGUAUGGUCAGUCAUUGGAAAUCGCUAAGCGCACAUAAUAGAGGUAUUAAAUAAAUAAUGACGGUUAGAUUUAGACUUGUGGGCUAAUUGUGGGGUGUUGAUUGGUUUGUGAGGUGUUGUGGGACUAAUUAUGGGGUGCACGUGAGAAAGUUCCUGUUUGAUUGUUUAAUAGUAGUGGAGAUUUUCUCUCCUCCUCCUUCAUUCUCUAACCACCGGUGCAGCCGUACAUGAGGCAUCACGCCGCCACCAAUGUCGUCUGCACCCGCCGCCGCCGCCCCAGAUCCGGUCGCCUCCGCCUAUUCCCAGCAGCGACAGAAGUGCCGGCGUCCUCCACGAGCUCCUCCGUGUCGCCUCGCCGUCGCCGCCAUCGCCUUCCAUUGACCCGGCGAGAUGCGCUGCCGACACCUGGAUCCCGCAUCCCCGACCGCCUCGAGCUGCGUCACCCGCACUUCCGCACGGCCCAGCAGUCGCAGACUCCGCGCUUAAGGAGAGGGUAGGUGGAGGAGCGCCGGGCGGCGAGCCGCUCCCAAGGACGGCACCUGGGGCCCUGAUUGUAGCACCGACGGUUUCCUAGAUGAUCCACGUUGAGGCUUCUUGUUCGUGUGUUUGAGUUUAGAAGCAGCGGGAGGCAGGAUAUGAUGCAUAGAAGGAAAUCAUUUGCGUGAUUUCAGGAUCGGGAUCAUUGCCUUCCGUGAUUGUAGGGGACGCGGGAUCGCAGAGACUCCUUUCGUGGUGGAGUAUGGUCAGUCAUUGAAAAUCGCUAAGCGCACAUCAUAGAGGUAUUAAAUAAAUAAUGACGGUUAGAUUUAGACUUGUGGGCUAAUUGUGUGGUGUUGAUUGGUUUGUGAGGUGUUGUGGGACUAAUUACGGGGUGCAUGUAAGAAAGUUCCUGUUUGAUUGUUUAAUAAUAGUGGAGAUUUUCUCUCCUCCUCCUUCAUUCUCUAACCACCGGUGCAGCCGUACAUGAGGCAUCACGCCGCCACCGAAGUCGUCUGCACCCGCCGCCGCCGCCCCAGAUCCAGUCGCCUCCGCCUAUUCCCAGCAGCGACAGAAGUGCCGGCGUCCUCCACGAGCUCCUCCGUGUCGCCUCGCCGUCGCCGCCAUCGCCUUCCAUUGACCCGGCGAGAUGCGCCGCCGACACCUGGAUCCCGCAUCCCCGGCCGCCUCGAGCUGCGUCACCCGCACUUCCGCACGGCCCAGCAGUCGCAGACUCCGCGCUUAAGGAGAGGGUAGGUGGAGGAGCGCCGGGCGUCGAGCCGCUCCCAAGGACGGCACCUGGGGCCCUGAUUGUAGCGCCGACAGUUUUCUAGAUGAUCCACGUUGAGGCUUCUUGUACGUGUGUUUGAGUUUAGAAGCGGCAGGAGGCAGGAUAUGAUGCAUAGAAGGAAAUCAUUUGCGUGAUUUUAGGAUCGGGAUCAUUGCCUUCCGUGAUUGUAGGGGACGCGGGAUCGCGGAGACUCCUUUCGUGGUGGAGUAUGGUCAGUCAUUGGAAAUCGCUAAUCGCACAUCAUAGAGGUAUUAAAUAAAUAAUGACGGUUAGAUUUAGACUUGUGGGCUAAUUGUGUGGUGUUGAUUGGUUUAUGAGGUGUUGUGGGACUAAUUACGAGGUGCACGUAAGGAAGUUCCUGUUUGAUUGUUUAAUAGUAGUGGAGAUAAAAGCCGGCCACGAAGGCCGGCGAAAGUCCAUAUUACAUUAAUUAAACACUAAAAACUAGACGACGCGCUGCCCUAGGCGUCCUCGUCGGCGGCGGCGCUUGCGUCUGGACCGGUGAGGUCGAUCAACGUCGGCGCAGGGCCGGCCCAGGGGAAUGCCGUGUUCGAGAGGGCGGCGAUGUCGAGCUGUGCCGCCGCUGCCUGGGCCUAGCGCGCCUCCUCUUCGGCCUCGCGCUCGAGCAUCUGCAGACGCUCGCCCUCCCGGCGCCAGUGGUCGAGGUAGGCCGCCUCCUGCUUCUUCGUCGCCCCGAGCCAGAUCGGCGGAGCGCUGACCCACUCGCGCACUACUCCGGUCCAGGAGUAGCGCUCGAGGUAGGCCGGCUCCUCCUGUAGGAGAUAUGCCCUAGAGGCAAUAAUAAAUGAUAAUAUUUAUCUCCGAGUUCAUAAUUAUGUUUAUGUUCCAUGCUAUAACUGCUAUGGUUCUCGAGUCUGCAAUAACCACGAGGCUCGGAGGAAGACUCAUAUGCACGUGUGGAAUAAUAAACGGUAAAAUGUAUUCCUAGUCUGGCCUCUAAGACUAGCUCAAGUGUUGCAUGAUGGUUAUGUUUUCCUGAUCAUGGGCAUGUCUAUGUCAGCAACCUUGAGGGCACAAUGUUAAGAGAACAUUUGUGUUGAAUCGACCCGGAUUGAUGUUAUGCUAUGAGAUUCAUUCGUCACAAGUUUAUUGGUACAUAACACAGAGAUGGUUAACGUUUGCAUGAUUCCUUAGACCAUGAGAGUAUCGAGUUUCUUCAUGCUUGCUUCAUGAACUUUGGGGUUUGUUAAACGUCAUCCGUAAAUGGGUGGCUAUUACGGCGGCUUACGGGUUCAUGGAAAAGUGUGUCAAGUAACUUGAUAGCUCAAGAUUGGGAUUUGCUCCUCCGACGAUGGAGAGAUAUCUCUGGGCCCUCUCGGUGUUACGGUAUCCAUCAUCGUCUGGCCAGACACUUUGUGAUUUGAUCACGGGGAUGCCGGAACACGAUAACGAGAAAAGAGAACAAUACCGGUAACGAGGUAACUAGCAUAGUGGACAAGUUGUUGAUCCACGGGAAUGCCAAUAUGUCUCACCUCGGGUAUUUGUAACAUAUCGCGAAGCAACAGGAAUAGCACACGGCAACUGGAGGUUGACUCGAAUAUUUAUUCGUGUGGGUAUAGGGGGUCAAUAUGGGUGUCCACGGCUCCGAUGUUGAUCAUUGAUCGGAAGGGGUUCCGGGUCAUGUCUAUACUUCACCGAACCUAUAGGGUCACACGCUUAAGGGUCAUCUAUCUGCUAAAUACUAGACAGGGAGUCUGAGAGAAAAUCACCGGAAAAGUUUCGGACAGCGGAAUCGUACCGCAGAGAGAGGUCAUCGGAUAAGUUUCGAUGAUACCGAAAAGUUGUUUCGGGAUACACCAUUAUGUCAAAUUGGUUUCGGCACAUGCCUGAUAAUUCUUGGAGGAUGCCAGAAUCAUUCUGGAAGCUUUUUGUAAUUUUCUGAGAUAAAAACCGGAAAUGUUCCGGAGCUGCCGGAGCCACUUCAGAUGCGUUUCGCAGAUGAAAAUCACUAAAAACGGAAUUGUUUCGGAACGCGUUGAAAAUCAUUUUAGUGGGUACUGGAAAUGUUCUUAGCCCACAUAAAUAUUUUCAGUUCGAUCAGACGCUGAAAAAUGUCGUCGUGAAUAGUGAAAAUCAGCUUUAUGGUUACUUUAUAGAAAGCCACCUUUUGGGGCUUUGCUCCAAAAGAUCUUGGGGAUGACAUGGAUGGAUAGGAGCCAUUUUUUGGGCCCCUCAUGGGGGUGUGGCCGGCCACAUGGGGUAUCCCCCCUUGGGCACCCUCUUGUUCCUUGGUUUCACUCCUAGGUCCUUGUGGAAGGACUUCAUUCAUGUGCGUUUUGGGUUUUUUGUGAAACUACCCUACCCCCUUGGGAUUUCCUAUAAAUAGAGGUGGAGGGGCUACCCUCCACACUCAUCCCUUGCUCUCAUACACAUGCCAUGCAUUAUCUGGCUUCUUCUCUCCCUCCCACGAAAAGAGUUUCGUAGAGCCGUAAGGCUGUCUGGGUUCCGGCAGGGACUAGUUCUGGACGGCGAAGCCCUGCCGGAUAGAUGACACCGUAUGUGUGCAACUCUGUAGAGAGAUCGUAGUUUCGGUCUUAGUUCGUGAGUGCCUCCCGAAGGGCUGUCCAUGUGACCGUCCGAGUUUCGAAGGUCCUCCCGAAGGGCUGUCCGAGUGACCGUUCGAGUUUCGAAGGUCCUCCCGAAGGGCUGUCCNNNNNNNNNNNNNNNNNNNNNNNNNNNNNNNNNNNNNNNNNNNNNNNNNNNNNNNNNNNNNNNNNNNNNNNNNNNNNNNNNNNNNNNNNNNNNNNNNNNNNNNNNNNNNNNNNNNNNNNNNNNNNNNNNNNNNNNNNNNNNNNNNNNNNNNNNNNNNNNNNNNNNNNNNNNNNNNNNNNNNNNNNNNNNNNNNNNNNNNNNNNNNNNNNNNNNNNNNNNAGCAGAUAAGGGUAUACAUCCUCGCGGUUGGGAUUUGUAAAUCCUAGCUGCGGGGAUCUGCACCGCCGAUCGUCAUCGACUCUACUUCCCGCUGCGCUACGAGUCGGUAACGAAAAAGAUCAAACCAUGUAUGCAGUCUCCAUAGUGGUCCUGGGCUGGUGCGUAGGUCGGAAAUUUUUUGUUUUCUGCUGCGUUCCCCUACACCUCCGGCACGGCUUUGGGCGGGGACGGCGGGGUCACCGGCCGCACGACGCAGUUGCCCGCCGCGGAGAGGGCCAUGGCCUCCGCCAUGGCAGCCUCGAAAGCCGCCUCAUCCACCUCCCUCCACCGCUCCUCCUCCUCGCUCUCCUUAAUGGCCGACUGGUAGGCGGCCUCGGCCUCCCGGUCAUCGUCGCGGACGACGAGCGCGGGCGGCGGCGGGCUAUGGUCCACGCCGCGUCGCCUCGCCUCCUCGUGCUCGAAGGCGAACCAUCGAGCCCAGUUGGGCGAGUCGACGGCGAAGUGCGGUUCGGCGCGCUGCUCCGACGUCAGCAACGCCCGCCGGCGCCGCACCUCCUCCGCAUGGGCCCUCGCGGCCCGCGGCGCCGCCGGCACUGGGAUCCUCUCCAGAUCCAAAUGCCAGUCAUGCGGCAGCGUCACGUCGGGGUACGGCAGAGGCACGCGGUGGUGCCAGUGCCACUCGGCCUGGUGCAACGGCACGUUGAUGCGCUGCCUCUGCCGGGGAGCGCGCGCCGGCGCGGGGAGGGCGGGGAGGGAGGGGGAAUGGCGGGCGGGGGCCUUGCCCUUGCGGCUGCUGCCGAUGCCGGAGAAGAAGCCCAUGCUGGCGGUGGCUAGGGUUGUCGCCGUGGGGGCAGGGGUGGCCAGAUGGGGAAGGGGGGCGAGUGGAAGUGGAUGAGGACGGCCCCGCCGCACGCCCGGCUUAAAAAAGGACGACCGCCGUCGCUGACGCGUGGGCCCAAGGUGGGCGGUCAUCAUAAAUUAUGUUGACCGUCGUAGUUGGACGGCCGCCAGGUGGGGACGCGGCGGACGGCGAGCAGACACGCGGCGCGUCGCAUUCCAGGCGCAAUUUUGGGUCGGAAAUGGGUCGGGCGCGGACGUCGUGGUGGUGUUGCGGUCACUCCUAUACCACGUCGUCACCUCCUGCGCGGCAGUGCGCACAGGUGGGUACGCUCUGUGCACCGGUGGCUGUGCCCGUGCCCCAACGUCUCCUGUACCACACCCAACUGCAGUCGCGCUCCCUGACGCUGACGAGUAGGGGGCGGGGCCGGGGCCACUCAUCAGGCCAACUCCACCGCGCGACCCCAAAUGAACGUCUGUUUUGUCCGGUUUCUGUCCGUUUGGGUAGGGCAAUGAGGUCGUGUCCUGGGAUGCGGUGGCCGUGCGCCCAGCGCGCGGCCGCAUCCCUUUGCCCCAUCCUGUCCGUCAGGGCAAAAAUGCCCAUAUUUUCAUCAAAACUAGUUUUACAACCCAAAUAUUUGUCUGAAAAUUAAAAUAGUUUUACAACCCAAUUGAAAUUGUCUUUAAUAAAAUAGUUUUACAACCAAAUCGAAAUUGUCUUGACUGAACAUAAAAUGAACCAAUACAUCUAUUGGUUGCCAAUGUGAUCCCACACGUGCUCAACCAAGUCAUUUUGAAGAUUCAAAUGAGUGUGCCAAUCACGCAUCUCACGGUGGAAUUGGACAAACUGUUCAAAUGUGGCCGGGUCUUGGUGCAGGGGCUCAAUAUUUUCACCUUGAUAAUCAAAUCCUUGGUCAAAGAUACUCUCAUCACGCUCGUCCUCGACGAUCAUGUUGUGCAUGAUCACACAAGCAGUCAUCACCUCCCAAAGCUUCCUUUCAUCCCAUGACAUUGCAGGGUUUCAAACGAUACCCCACCGGGAUUGAAGCACACCAAAAGCACGUUCCACAUCCUUUCUAGCACUCUCUUGCAUUUGGGCAAAUCUUUUUCUCUUCUCACCUUGGGGUUUCGAGAUUGUCUUCACAAAAGUUGACCACUGGGGAUAUAUACCAUCAGCUAGAUAGUAUCCCUUGUUGUACUGGUGGCCGUCGAUCUCAAAGUUGAUAGGUGGGGAGUGGCCUUCUGCAAGCCUCGCGAAGACUGGAGAACGCUGCAGCACGUUGAUAUCAUUGUGAGAACCUGCCAUGCCGAAGAAAGAAUGCCAUAUCCAAAGAUCCUGCGAUGCCACCGCUUCUAAUAUGACAGUGCACCUGUUGACAUGCCCCUUGUACUGGCCCUGCCAAGCAAAUGGACAGUUCUUCCACUCCCGGGGCAUACAAUCUAUGCUGCCAAGCAUGCCUGGAAAGCCUCUAGCUGUGUUGGUCGCCAACAAUCUCUCUGUAUCAGCGGCAGUUCGCUGCCUCAAGUACUCUGGACCAAACACCUCGAUCACAGCCUGGCAAAACUUGUACAUUGACAUCAGACAUGUUGUCUCACUCAUACACACAUACUCAUCCACCAGAUCGCCUGGAAUUCCAUAUGCAAGCAUGCGGAUGGCCGCGGUGCAUUUCUGGUAAGAGGAGAAUCCAAGCUUGCCAAGGGCAUCCGUCUUGCACUUGAAAUAUGGGUCAUGAGCAACCACUCCCUCUCGGAUACAAUUGAACACAUGCCUUGCCAUUCGAAAACGGCGACGGAAUUUAUCCGGCUUGAAGAGCGGGGUGUUGGCAAAGUAAUCGACAUAGAGCAGGGCGUGCCCUCUCUCCCUGUUGCGGUUCAGGUUGGGAGCACGGCCAGGGACUGACCCCCUGUACCGAGGAAGCUGCCGUUGAAUGUGGUCGUGAACGACCAGUGCAGCCACCACAAGAUCUUCAUCAUCCGACGACGAAUCGUCCGAUGAACAAAGGAAGUGAUGGAAGAAAAACUCGUAUCCACUGUCCAUACCUUUGGGGGCAAAAUGUCGAACACCUUGCGGUCGUGGUGGCGAAGAGGCCGCGAUGAUCACCUCGACGCAGCAGGGGUGGUUGCCGGCCAGCUACUGGCCGCUCUGGAGCUCUCGUCGGAAGCUGCCGAGGCCGCCGUGGUACGUCGUCGGCGGUCGUGUCCCCUCUGCGACCAGCAAAGACGGCGACGGCCAAACCUCCUCCGAUCGUCGGCCAAAACUACGGCCAAAGCGCUGGCGUGGUGGCGGCCAUGUCGAGACGUGGUUUGGUAGGGACGGCCGGGGGCUGCGCGGUGAGGAGGCGGCCGGAGAAUAGCGGCGGCGCCGGCGGCAGGGCGGGGCGGGAGAGAGAGGGUGGAAGCGUUGGGAGCGGAGGGACUGCUAGUGUCCCCGACAGGCGGGCCACGGGGGGGACAAGGGCGUGCGUCCAGGCCGUCCGCGCGCAUCCGUUUCACCCCAAACCGAGCGCAAGUUUGGGCCGGGGAUGGGUCGAAAACGGACGGAAUCCCGACAUUUGUCCGUUUGAGGCCGCGCGCUGGGCCGCGCUAUUCGUCCGUUUUAUCCCAAACGGACGCGCGCGGACAUGAUGGGGUCGCGCGGUGGAGUUGGCCUCAUGCCCUACUACCCUUUGAUAUUCGCUCGCUACGUCCGGUUUUUUUAGGCUCUCCCACGUUUUCAGCCAAAAAUUAACUGCAUAUCUGUGUAAUAAAAUUUAGUUUAUAUGUAAAAGAUAGUUCGGAAAUUUUCAUUCGAAUACGAAUUCAACAAUACCGUUUGUAUGAUAUAUCACUUAUAUUCUGCAAAUCAAAUCUACAGACAAAGUUUAACCAAAUAAAUCUGAACUGAUGUAGUACCGCCAUACCGGCAACUAGACGCCUUCGUUCAGUCUAAGUUUGGACUCAUCUAAUCAGUAACCUUGGAAGGAAAAAAACCUCUAUGUUCCUCCAUGAAAAACCAAUAGUAUUCAGCUACUGCUAUCCUAAUCAGCAUCUCCUCAAAAUUUUCCAAUAGUGAAUGGCUUAAAAAGGAUUAUUGCUACUCUUCAUUUUGCAUGUGUUGGUCUCGAUUGUGUAAUUAUGUUGAGCUCCAAUCGCUUGAUAGAACGAGGGAAAAGGAUCGGAGGCAUCGCGGUAGAUGCGGCAUCAAGACCUGAGAUGGAGGUGGCUACAACGCGGAGCGACCAUGAUGGUGGAGGCAGGGCUAGAGGGUUGGUGAUGGGAGGAGGCACACUAAUGUCAGAGCGAAACCCAUGCCCCACUUUUAAGUAUUAGAGAGAUAGACGGGGGCGAAGAUAGUCAUGGUAGGGUUGUGUGGCAGGAAAGUAGCACCACGGUCACGACACGAAUCCGGUGGACAAGGUCGAAGGAGGUUCGACAAAGUGAUGACACCCAAGACGAAGUAAGACAUGAAGGUAACCUGUGCUGCUGGAUUCUAAUGCAUCGGAUGGAAAAGUAAUUAAAAUAGAAGAGGAAUCAGCCAACUACUACAUCAUAUUAUAAAAGUACUAGGUUGACUUUUGGAAAUGCCCGUUCCGAUAAAACAUGUUCACCCUGUUUUAGUAAUUUGUUUAUCUAGUUUGACAUUUUAUUGUGUAUAUAUUGAAAAAAAUCUAAAAUUCUAGUAAACUAACCACUAAGGAUUAGCUAAAUUGACAUGUGACCCGUCAGUAGCGCACCAAACACGUAAUCUCCUCGUCGGAAAUAAAGGGCGGCUAAGGUUCUUCCUUAGGGUCGCCGCCGCCGGUUCCCCUCACCUCUGAAUGCCUUCCAGCGCCGGUGAUGUGGAGGAAACCCACUCCAAGUUGUCUAUGUAGUAUCUGAUUGCCAUAACUCUUCUUAGGGCUAACUCUAUGUGCCUGGCAGGCGGUAGUGAGGCGAUAGCACCAUCGACAACGAGAAACAGGCUCUCCCCCGUAAUGUCCUUGUUCUGGCAAUGUCAUUUGUCAUCGGCUCAGGCAUGUGGAACCUGAGUCAAGGCUGGAUAUUGUGUCUCGUUUUUGUCGAUGUCCUACGUAGGGUAUGAUGUGGUGACAUUUUUUCUCUUGCGGUCCCUUCUCUGUUUGAGGUAGCUUGACCAGAUGGGGCUUCGUCAAGUUUUUAUUUUUGCGGGUAGGAAUUUGUAAGGUUUGUGUCCACCUCCUUUGCCUGGUAGGAGUUGACAGUAUCGUCUGAGCCUUCUUCUUGUCGGCUUCUCCGGAAUGACGAUAUGCCCAACGUGAUCGUCGGUGUUGCAGCCGAUGGAUGCACAAUGAACACGGCGACGAUUUCCUCAAGGAUUUGAGCGUGUUCUUUUAUUCUUAUAUCAGAGCGGUCACCAUCCUAGUACAAAACAUCAUCAGCUGACCAGACCACACUAAUUUUUGUACAAAUUACUCGCUCCGUCCCAUGAUACAAGACCUUAUCACAUCCAAUAUGUGGGACGGGAGGAGUAAAAAAGACAGCCAACCAAAGCACAAAUCACAAUUGAAGCCCCAAGUAACCUAAAAGCCCCCUCCAGUAAGCUCAAAACAUAAAACCGCCCCCCUCCGAUCGCGAGUCGGGAACGCCGGAGGGCGCGAGCGCAUUCCUGUGAGGGACGCCGAAGCUACUCGCUAGCACGCGCACACACACACGCGGCCACCGCUCCACGUAUGAUCCCCAACACACAAGCUGACGAACGAGACGAUGCCGGGUCGAGCCUUUUCCUCCGGCUGGCUGACCUGCUGGGACUGCUAACCACUUCACUGUACGCUGCUACUAUUGCGAUCGCUAUGGAUAAUUGGAUCACGGAUCGCUUUCCGCACCGCCGGCCUCGUCGCCCGCCCGCUCGCGUUGAACUUGGACCAGUGCAGCGCAGUGCAUGGAACUACGCGAGCCCUCGGGCCGAUUCCGAUCUAGCGGCCUCUAGUGUAGCUGGACCACUCGCUCCGAUCCAGCGGCGCGCCAUGGGUGUUGGCGUAGAGAACAGCGCAUCAAUAAUUGUGCUGCUACGUGCGUGUGCCCGCGCGGCGGCGCUGCCGGCACAUCUACGGAGCUCACCGGAAAAUGGAGCCGGUGAAAACGUCAAAGGAGAAACUUGUGGGCGGUGGAAACGCUGUCCAUCCAUUCACUCUAAGCAAUGGGAGAAAGAACCAGCGAGUGUGCCAGAUUGUAUGUAUAAUGAUCGUCCUGGACGUUCUGCAUCCCAUGUUAGAUUUGGCAAUGGUCAUCCUCGACUGGCUGCGAAUGGCGCAGGCCUCCGGUUAUAUCAUUUACUGAGACGAGGUGGAUUGGGUGGAUCUUGGCGACUGAUUGCUGUGCUGGGUCCGUGUACUGAGUACUCGUACAUCAGAGUAGGCACGUACAACAACGAACUAAUUAAUACGUACUCGUGGAUCUGCCAAAGUGCAGAAGGCUCGCAGCGGUCGGUCAUGGGUCCACGCUGAUCAGGGCACCGCGACAGUCCAAAACUUAUACGUAACAGAGCUACUCUUAUGAAAUUGAGAGCAUCUAUAACCGGACUUGGUAAAUUCGACCCUUCAAACACCCGCGGGCGCAUCCGGACGGACCCUCAUAUUUUCUUUCACGCAUUCACAUAUCUCAAAUCCGGACUCUCAACUUCAUGCAAAUACAUGCACGUCGAUCAUGCAACACAAUGUCGUACGUCAAUAACAAAUGUUGGUAUCGAGCAUAUAUAUGUUUACAUAAAAUUUAUUUGAAGUGUCAAACUCAAGCAUUGCCUCUUUGGUUGUCAUUAUGGAUCCACAUGUGCUCCACAAGAUCAUUGAGUAGCUGCGUGUGCAUCUGCUGAUUUCGAAGAUUCCGAUGCAUCUGCAGAAAAGUUUAUAAGCUAAGCCGCAUCUUGAUCUUCCGGGAUUUCAACUUGUUCUCCGGGUGCUUCGAAAUCAUGGGUUUGGGCUACAACAUCACCCUCAUCCUCGAUAAUCAUAUUGUGCAGAAUAACACAACAUGUCAUCAACAACCAUAAAGUUUCCGAUUCCCACAUCAUUGCAGCGCUCCGCACAAUUCCCCAACGAGCUUGAAGCACACCAAAUGCCCUCUCCACGUCCUUCCUAGCCGCUUCCUGCAUUGUUGCAAAGUGGCUCUGUUUAUUGCCACGCGGCUCGGAUAUGGUCUUCACAAACGCCGCUCGCUGAGGAUAGAUACCAUCGGCAAGAUAGUAUCCCCAUGUUGUAGGCGGCCGUUGACGGUGUAGUUGCACGAGGGUGAUUCCUCAUUGCAAAGCCUCCUGAACACCGGAGAUCGUUGAAGCAUAUUGAUGUCAUUGUGAGAACCGGACAUUCCAAAGAAAGCAUGCCAAAUCCAUAAGUCAUGUGAUGCCACCGCUUCUAGUAUGAUGGUGGCCUAUUUGGUGUGACCUUGAUACAUUCCCCGCAGACCUUUGGGGCAGUUUUUGCAUUGCCAAUGCAUGCAAUCAAUUGAUCCGAGCAUUCUUGGAAACCCCCUUGCCUCUCCAAUAGCCAACAACUUCUCCGUGUCCUGCGCAUUUGGUUCUCUGAGAUACUCCGGUCCAAACACCUCAACCACGGCGCGAGCAAAUUUGAUAGUAGUCUUGAGGCACGUGCUCUCCCCCAUCCUGACCAUCUCACCAAUGACGUCUGCAGCAGUACCAAGUGCGAGCAUCCUCAGAGCAGCCGUGCACUUCUGCUUGACCGAGAAAUAGAUUUGGCCGCAGCAAUCCCUUCUCAGCUUGAAGUAGUCGUCGUGUGCCUCCACUCCCUCCACAAUGCGCAAAAACAAUGGUUCCGCAUGCAUAAACGGCGACGAAACCAUGGAUCAUCCGGGGAAGCAGGUGAGGGAGCAAAGUAGUCAUUGUGGAGUAGCUUUGCUCCAGACACUCUAUCCCGGUUGAUCACUCUUCUCCCUUUGAUUGAGCCGUUGAAGUUGAGAAUAUGCUCCACUUGCCGGUCCAUUUCCUCUUACAUGCUCAUGAGCAUGAUCAUGUCCACUUCUUCAUCCGAAUCCGACGAAUCGAAGAACUCAUCUUGAAUCAUUUGGUCAAGCUCCGUCGGUCCAUACUCCUCGUCCCACGAAGCAUCGAAAUCCAUCAUUUACCUAAAAAAUCACAAUAAUUCCGGUCGGUCAAUGUGUCGAACACAUCAAGUGCAAGGCUGAGCCGGAGAGUUGCCGGACGUACCACGGUGGCGUCCGGGCCGGCAACAACGUCCCCCCGCAGCAAGGACGGGAGCGCUCUUCCGGAGCUGACGGCGGAGAGCCCGGGAACGGCUGCAGAGCGGGCGCGGCGGCGGAGCUGCAAGCCGGACGGCGCGGGCGAGGAAGAACAGAGGAGAGAGCAAAUGGAUCCGGCAGCUCGGGGGAGGGGGGGAUUUGGUGCAAUUUGGGGUGGGUCGGGUUGUUGGGUCCGACGUGGCGGGUGUGCCCGAGCGCGCCCGGGCGCCCCCAUAUUCGCCCCAUAUUUGGGCUGGAUAUGGGGGGUGCCAGUCAGCCCGGGUGUUUGAGGGCUGUUUGAGAGGCCCGUCUGGGUCAAAAAAUCGUGACCGAGCAGCACAGAGCGGCCUGCCCGGGCGUAUAAGGCAGGUUUGAGAGGUCCGGUUGUAGAUGCUUUGUCAAGGCAAAAAUAUCAUCAGAUUUUCGUGUUUCUCUUCUCCUGUGCAAACGGAACGUACUACUCACUUCAUUCCCUUAUAUGCAAGACCACUACGAAAAAUAUAUUUUGCAUCUAUACAUGUAUACAUGGCCACUAACAGUAAUCGAAGAAAAAAUAAUGAUGUUUCCUUAUACUACCAACUUGUUUAAUAAUUGCAUGCAUGUAGUCAUAAUGACACUGUGCUACUGCCUUCUCAUUCCUUUCUUGCAUGUUGGCGUAUUAAUGAUUCUGGUAAACAAAAAGAAAUGUUGGAUUGUAAAGCAGUCACUAAAUUUUACCUUUAUACCUGUAAUUUGAGUUUGUGGCCUUGUAUAAAGGAAUGGAGUACUAAGAAUUUUGCAAGAAUGACAGUUUGGUAACUGCAUCGUUUCGUGAAGUACCUCGAUGCAUCAGUCGGCGACACAACGAUCUAAGCAAGGCGUUAGAGCAUGUACAGCCGAGCGCUCCAAACCGGCCUCAAACGCCCGACUGGCCCACCCGGUUAUGACCGGUCACGAAAAUCUGACCCUAACGGGCGCCUCAAACGGCCUUGAAAUGUCCGGGCUCACCGGCACCCCUCAUAUCCACCCCAAAUAUGAGAUGGAUGUGGGGGUGUCCGGGCGCGCCGCCACGUAGGAGUGACAAUGGGGUCCCAUGCGGAAUCGCCCGAACCCCGACGGUCCGACGGACGCCCCCUCCGUCACCGCGGUGUGAACGCCUUGUGGCGUCGCUCCGGCUCGUCGCCCGAGGCUAAAUCUAUUUAAGUCGGUUGACGUCCCCCAACCCUAGCCCAUCCACAUCCUCACUCUCUGUGCCGCCGCCCGAGCCAGUCCGCCUCCUUUCCCCCGCUCUCCCAUGCCCUCCGGCAUCACCAUGGUCCGGUGCAAGUUCACGAGGUACGCUAUGCUCACGGUGGAGCGCCACAUGUAGAGCGUGGAGGAGAUCCAGGCAAGGCGCGCCACCCACAUUGCUGUCGGGCUGCCUCCGGACUUGCCGAAACCAGAGGAGGAGGAGGAGGAGGAGGAGGCGGCGGAGCAGCCUGCUCCGCGGUUCAACAUGGUGGAGGUGAAGGCGGAGUUCACCAUUGCCCAGUCCGCGAAGAUGUCGGAGCAGCAGGCCAUCCUGGAGUCCAUCCAGGAUGAGGCCUAUGUGGAGGCCAACCGACAGUUCUUCCGGCACGUGCAGGCGGCAUCCGACGCGCUCUUCGUUGAACUCGACGCAGAGAUAGAGGAGGAGGAGGCCGGAGCGGAGCAGUUGAGACGUCGGAGCUGCAGCUGCCGCCCAUAUACCCGCAGCCGGGCACGGAGAUUGUCUACAUCUCCGACGAGGAGUAGCUAGAUCAUCUAUGUAGUUUGUAUGCUUUUUUAUGGAUUUGAGAAUUUAGUAUAAGAUGUCCGGAUCCAGUUAUGUUAAUUUGAGGAGUGCCCGAUUACUGCUCAUGGACGCGUUCGUUUGAGGGGUCAUAUUUGUCCUAUGCUGUAGCAGAUGCUCUCUAUGGUGCGUUAUCCGAUCAACGAGUGAAAAAACCCAUUAGUUCUCCCCCGCGUCGCCCUUCCUGGCGACACGGGGGAAACCCUAGAUCGAGCGCCCGCAACCCCCCUUCUUCCUCCCCCACGGCUCGCCGCCACCAGAGGAGCGGCCGGCAAAGUCCGCGCCGGCUCCAGGGAAGGUGGCGGCGGGGCCCUUUUCGUUCAACCAGCUAGCAAGGCGCACGGCGAGAGGCUGCUGCAACGGUGGCGUGGGGCAGGGCCAUGGCGGCGCGAGGCCCGUGUGCUCGCGAGGAGGCCCUGGCCGGCGCGCCGUGGCGCGAGAUCCGCGCGGCGAGAGGCUCUGUGGCGACAAGAUGGGCGCGGACGGCGCCCCCAGCGCGGAUCUGCUGGGUGGCCACCUUGGGGGUUCCUGGGUCUGCGAUGGUGCGAGAUCCGCGCGGCAAGAGGCGCCAGGAGGUCGCGGUGGGUUCGCGGCGUGUGAAGGCUUGGCGUCAGGGCUGUAAGGGACCCGCAGUUGCCGGAGCUGAUCUGGUUUCCGGCGGGCCUGCGGCCAGUUGCUCGCCGCCCGACGGCGUCUGGAUGGUGGAGGUGGUAGCGGUGGUGCCGACGGAGGUUGGUGGGCUCCUCCCUUCGAGCUUGCUCACGUCCGGCUCCUGGAGUAGGGGCGCCGUCAAGCCUGGUGCAUGACGAGUCUCGAGCAAACCAGAUCCAACACGGACGUCGGGUCCUUGCGCGCGGCGGUGCGGGCCCGUUGCUUUUGGCUUGGUUUCGCCCUGUUCCGGCGCGCGGCGGCGCGGGUCGGUCUGUUUUGGCCAGGCAUUUGUUUUCCUGUUGCGCCGCGGUGCGAUCUCUCGCCCAGAUCUGCGCAUGGAGGCAGAGGACGGCCAAAAUCGACUUGGUUCGCCCAGGUCCUGCGUGCGGCGGUGUGGACUGGUCAGGGUGGCGUGAGCUCGCUGGGAUUCUGCGUGCGGCGGUGACAAUGUUCGUGUUUGGUAGUGUGUGCUUGGUCUUGCUCUGCCCAGUGGCGCUUGGUUGGUCUCGGAUCCUGGAUGGCUGGUAGAAGACUCGGCUCCGGAUGAAAAUCCUGCAUUGACUCUGUCGAUGCCAACGGUAACGGCAUCUUCAGAUGUCGUCUCCUUCCUUGGAGGUAUCGUUGUGGAGGUCGUUGCUCUUCCUACCCCAUGGCUGAGGUCUCCGGGCGAAAGCCUAAGAUCUGGCUCAGUCAGAUCGGGUGAUGAAGAUGUCCUCAACAUCACUUCCUCCUUGGAGGCGUCAUCUUGGAGACCUCGACGAUGGAUUCCGAUGGUGUGCAUGGUUGCUGGAGGAGCUUGGGUUUGUGGUGGUGCCGGCAGGAUCUUUUUCGUUUCUUUCUUUUUGCACUAGCCC